RNAcentral lists this long non-coding RNA (54205 nucleotides) under Ananas comosus (pineapple). RNAcentral describes it as "long non-coding RNA (ACOM_LNC041994)". Lineage: Eukaryota; Viridiplantae; Streptophyta; Magnoliopsida; Poales; Bromeliaceae. The record is from RNAcentral.
GUUAGCCGUGAGAUUAAAGAACAAAGAACAAAAAGGAAUCAUGAAUUGGAAAGUGGAUCUUGUAUUCAUUAUGAAUGGACUCAAGACCGAGUCGAGUGGCAUAGUUGGCUAAGGUAAAGGUAACAAUUGUGAAAGAAUGACAAUUGAGAAAGAAUGACAAUUGAGAAACGUUUGUUAAUGUUAUAAAGAAUGGCAAAAGUGUAUAAUGCGCCUAAGGUGCGAGUGCCCUUAGCAAAGAAUAAAGAAUAAAGAAUAGAGAAUAGAGAAUAAAGAAUAAAGAGUAAAGAAUGGCUAAUGAUAAAGAAUAGCAAAUUCUAAAGAAAGGCUAAUGGUAAAGAAUGACUAAGAGUUGCAUAAUUUGCAUAUUUGUGAGGCAUGAACAUGUAUUGCAUGAUGUUAUAUGUAUAUAUAUCUGUUGGACUAACAUGUUGCAGUGCCUCCUUUGGACCUGGUGGGUUGAGCUCUUCCCUUGGGUGGCUGUACCCACCGAGGACUAUGGACAAUAGUCUCACCCCCGUGUUGUUGUUUUUGGGGGUACAGGUUCACACGCGAGCGGCGCGGCGGCGCGAGGAAAGGGCGUAGCUCUGUAGUUAGCGCCCUACCACAGAGACCAGAUAGCAGCACCCUGAGUCUGGUUCUUAGGGGUAUAAGAAAAGAAAAGAAAAGAAAAGAGUCGAUGUUGUAAUAUUAUGUUUAUAAUCGAUUGUAUAUUUGGAAGUUGAGGAUCAAUGUAAUGAAAAAUGCGAUAUAAAAUGAUGAGAUGAAUGAUUGUAAUAACAUAGGAUGUGUUAUGUUGUUUGAUACCUUCCUUAUGCAAUCGUUGUUGAAAAUUGUUCCUGUUUGGAACCUCUUGUACUUGUAUUAAUUGCGACGCCUUGAAUGUACAGGGGAGACUCUGUCCGCGUGCAUGGGAAACCCUGUCCGUUCGGCGGUCUGUUGGCGUGCCCGAAUCCGACCAAAGGGGCGGGCUCGGGGCGUGACAACUGAGCUUCUUCCUAUGUCUUAGUGCUUAUUCGAUUGGCAUAUAGCAUAUCGUAUAUUGUUAUGCAUUAUAGGGUGAUGAUACAUGCAUUCCUACUCCUUGUAUGAUGUCUAUGAUUAAUAUAGUAUUAUGAUAUGGAUAUUUGAUGUAAUGGACAUAAGGAUUAGGAGAUGACAUUGGUAAACCUAUGAUGCUAAAUGAAAGAGGAACCUAGUGUUGUAUCUAAAGACAUAGUUUACUAGUGGCAUUGGACUUAGUGUGAUAGAAAUACAUAUAACUUGUACCUAGUAUGCAUGAGAUUGGGACAUAGUGUUGUGAAACCCUAUAAUGGCAUGAUUAAUGUGGAUUAAACUCUAGUUGAGUGACGACCUAGUGAAUAUGUGCAAAUAGUGCAUCGAGAACAUUAAACUAUGACGAGUGGCAUCUAAUUAAUGUUAACCCAUGAUGAGUGGCAUAUGAGAACCUAGUGUAGUUGACUGUGACGCCCCAGCUUCCCAGGGGGUCACCUGUCACGCCCCGGGACCGAUGCCAAUUUGGCCCGACCCGAGCACGUCAAACAGACGCCGAACGGAUAGAGUUUCCCCUAUCCGCCCAAGGCUCAUCACAUGCACAUUUUCAUCAAUAGAGAAAAGCACUAGCGGAAACAUACAAAAACGGCUUACACGAGGGUAAGCAAUAGCCAUAAGUGAAAGAAAAAGGAAACUAAACAUUCUCAAGUAAUAUGAUUCAUUUUGAUCACAUACGUUGUAUCUAUCCAACUUGUACACCCAAAACCUUUACAUUCUUUCAUCAUUUCUUUUACAUCACAUUUACCUCAAAAUGAACAUUACAUUCUUUUCUUUACAUUACUAUCAUCAAAUACAAAAGAUGAUCAUAAGGUACUUUACUACAAAAUAAAACCCAACUGUGGUGGCCUCUGACUAAGGCGCGAUACCUUUACCGCGGUCGCUCGCCGGCUCGCUCGGUCCCGGCUCUGUGGAAAUAGUGGGGUGAGAAUUACAACAAAGUUCCCAGUGGGUUCGGCCCAACAUCACCGACUUUCCCACUAGGACUAACUCAGGCAUAAUAGAAAGGAUAAGCAAGAUUUGUUUACCAAUCUAUAACAUGAUGAUGCUUAUAUAGCCUGAACAAAAGCAAGGAUAUCUCAACAUUGAAUAAAUGCAGACUAUGCAAUUUCUUUACUCUUUUUACUUUACUCUUUGUUCUUUGUUCCUUACACUUUUUUUUCUUUGCUCUGUAUUCUUUUAAUCUCAAGGCUAACCGGGGGUUUCGCCAAAUUACUGCUUCACAUUAAGUCCAUCAUCGCAGAAACUCACAAGCUAGGACGUCUUAACGGGUCUCCUCCAACGCCGGAUGCAUAACUCCGGAGCGCAUCGCCCGAGGGGAGCGACCGCCUCGAGCACGAACUCAUAGCAAGUAUAUCGAAUCCUUAACUCAAAGAUUUAUAAGUAUCAAUCUUGACUUUACACUACUCUAGUGUUUUACAUCACUUAUGUUGCAAACCAUGCAACAUCUCUUUCGUUUCUUUUACUUUUGCUAACUCUAGCAUUAUAUUCUUUAUUCCCACAUUACUUUAACUUUAGACAUUGUCAUUUCAUCAUUCUUUACUUCACUUUAGUUUUUGCAUCACACUAACUCUAGUUUUCUUUUCUUACAUUUUCCGAUGCCCUCGAUCUAUGUCAUUGUGCCACUCUGUUCUUUUGCUCACUUUGGUGGUCAAUUUUCUCUCAUGCAUACAUCUAGGUUUUGACAUUAUUAGGUUCUAAACUCAUUAUGCAGUUGUGUCACAAUCAUGCAUCAUCACAUUUCAUUAUUACUUUACCCUAAAUGCAUGCACAUAUAUAUGUAAAUAUGCUCAAGGAUGACACAAUUAGCAUAGAGAGAAUUUCAAUGAGUUUGGAAAGCACCACCCACUUGCAGGUCUAUUUAGGUGCUCCGAUGAUUUUCUGGUUUUAGACCUCUGUUCUUUACCUGCGGCAAAACGAACCCUUAUUAGAGCCAUUUUGCUCAUAACUUCUUUGACUUUCGUAAUGCUAUUCGAGCGCACAAUGCGUCGGAAAUACCCAAUUAGGUUUUUAGAGAGGUCAAUUGCACAAUAGAAACUUUCAUGAGCAAAGCCCAAUUUGGGUGCCUAUCGCAUUGUAAUAUCAAAACCUAGGGUUUGAUUCUAUUGGAAGCAAAAGUAGCUUCAUUAUACUCUAAAUAAAGCAUUAGAACCAUUCUUAGGCUUUCCAAAACCCUAGUUUGGAUUUCACCAUUAGAGGUGGCCCAAGCUCACCUAUGUAUCAAAACUAGGUUUUGAUCUCUUUAGAAGCAAAAGAAAGCUUCAAAACUACUAGAUAUUCCAUUAAAAACCGUCCUUAGGUUCAUUCAAACCCAUUUCUAGGGUUUUAGCAUGAUUAGGGUUAAAGCUUACCUCAAAGCUUUCCCUAACUUGCACUAGAGAGAAAGAAGAUGAAGCCUCUUUUGCUCUUUGAUCUUCUUCUUCACUUUCCUCUCCUACUUUUCCUUCUUUUCCUUGUCUUCUUCUUCUCCUUCUUUGUCUUCUAGAGAGAGAAAGAGAGGAGAGAGUGUGAGAGGGAGUGGAAUGAGAGGAAAAGCCCCUCAGCCCACUACAUAGCUCAAUGGGUUGCAAAAAUGCAAGAAAACCCCUCAACUUUUAUCUCUGUGCACUGCCUGGACUGGGCAGUUUUCGCAGGCAGAGACCGGUCUCCCCGAGCAGGGACCGGUUCCCGAACGUCCACCCUGCGCAGCCAGAGUCGCUGCGCGCGAUGCGACCGGUCUCUCUCCGAUGGGACCGGUCUCUGGGGGACCGGUCUCUCAAGCAGAGACCGGUUCCCGAGAGCUACCUUCCAGGACUUAGCCGAUUUUUCGGCUGUCUCCUUCUGCACGCGUUCGGGGACCGGUCUCUCCCUUCAUGGACCGGUCCCCGAGAGCUGAAAAUCUGCAGUUUUGCAGAAUUCAAUUCUUAAGCUCUCGAAAACCUUCCACAACUCACUUUCAAUCACUUUAACACCUUCGGACUUUCCGAAGUGUUCCAUCCUCGCACUUUGGUCAAUUUGACUAAAGUUCGACAUUUUUAUUUUCCGAAUUUUCGGUAUAUUACAUUCUCCACCCCUUAAAAUAAUUUCGUCCGCGAAAUUACGCAUACCUUAACUCGUCGACUCGAAUAAAUGCGGAUAUUCUCUCCGCAUUAACUCCUCGAGCUCCCAAGUGGCUUCUCGCGCCGCGUGGUUGCUCCAUUGGACCUUUACAUAGGGGAUUUUGCGACUCCGCAACUUCUUAACCUCUCGAUCGAGGAUGCACACGGGAUACUCCUCAUAGGACAUAUCUUCACGUAGCUCCACGGGCUCGUAUUCCAAUACAUGUGCCGCGUUCCGGAUAUACUUUCGAAGAUUCGACACAUGAAACACAUUGUGAACUCCCGCGAGUCUCGGUGGUAGUGCGAGCUUGUACGCAACCGCACCCACACGUUCCAAUAUCUCAAACGGUCCGACAUAUCGGUGACUUAGCUUCCCACGGACCCCGAAUCGUUUAACUCCUCGCAUUGGCGACACUCUCAAGAAUACACGGUCUCCAACCGCGAACUCUAAAUCCUUUCUUCGCUUGUCGGCAUAACUCUUUUGCCGAGAUUGCGCCAUCGCCAACCGUUGACGGGCAAGGCGAACUUUCUCUUCCGCCUCCCGCACUACAUCUGGGCCAAGAGCCGCUCUCUCGCCCACGUCGCUCCAAUGGAUAGGAGAACGACACUUUCGACCAUAUAGUGCCUCAAAAGGCGCCAUCGCUAUACUUUCUUGGUAGCUGUUAUUGUAGGCGAAUUCCGCCAUAGGCAAGAAAUCAUGCCAUCCUCCUUUAUAAUCUAGCACACACGCUCGAAGUAAAUCCUCAAGGAUUUGUAUCGUUCGCUCCGACUGUCCAUCGCUUUGAGGAUGAAACGCUGUACUGAAGUCGAGUCGUGUGCCUAGCGUGUCUUGCAAACUCUUCCAAAAAUGGGAUGUGAACCUGGGGUCGCGAUCCGACACGAUCGAUACUGGAACCCCAUGAAGUCUCACAACCUCGUCGAGAUAAACUUGCGCUAGCUUGUCUCCCGACCACGUAGUAUGUAUCGGUAAGAAGUGUGCCGACUUUGUCAAUCGAUCCACUAUUACCCAUAUCGCAUCGUGUCCGCCUUGUGAUCGAGGCAAACCGGUAACAAAGUCCAUCGCUACAUUUUCCCAUUUCCAAACGGGUAUUGGUAGACUUUGUAACUUUCCCGCCGGAAAUCGGCGCUCGGCCUUCAUCUGUUGGCAGCGUUAGACAUUGCGCCGCUAUCGAACUCUCUCAUAUCCUCUUUUCAUACCGGCCACGAAUAAUGUUCUUUCAAAUCUUUGUAAUUUUAGUGCACGCCGGGGUGUAUACUAUAAGGGAGAUGAUGCGCUUCUUGGCAUAUUCGCCCUUCGUAGUUUUCAUUCAAUCUUUAGGGCCACCACAUCGAUUUUGAAAUCGAAGUAGCGCCCAUAGCUCAAUGCCAAAAUUUCGCUUUACCGCUCUCAAGCAUGAACCCCCGACCUUUUGGAGAUAGGAUCCGAAGUUUGUAACUACUUGAAUUCUCUCCACAGGGUCGGUUGCACAACUAAUAGUGGCAAGUGCAGCCGGCCUCCCGCGCUAUCACUUCCAGACCGAAUCGUUGAUUUCUUUUUGUAAUUAGCGGUUGGGGCGUAUUGCCAUCGCUGAAGUUUUCCUGCCGAUUUUCUAACUCAAUGGCUUCGGCCAAAUAUGGUUUUCCGGGGUGGUAUAAUAUAAGUACAUCAUAGUCUUUAGAGCUUCUAACACCUGCCGGCUGUCCGACGUUCAACUCUUUCUGGUGAACAAGUCUUUAGGCUCUUGUGAUCGUAUAUACUCCAUGAUUUCCCCUACGUAUAUGCCAAUCCAAAGCCUUUAGCGGGAAAAUCACGCGGCUAACUCGAGUCGUGAAUCGGUAAGGUUCUUGCUGCAUAGCUCUUACUUGGCGCGAUGCAUAACAAAUAACGUUCGCCCAUUUGCAUUAAUACACACCCGAGACCACACAUACGAGGAUCACUCGUACACCUACAAAAGUCUCUCUCUAGGAGGUUGGCAAGGCAAGCACGGGGUCGACGUCAUGCUGUUCUUUAAUCUCNNNNNNNNNNNNNNNNNNNNNNNNNUUCUUUCAAGCAGAGACCGGUUCCGAGAGGCUACCUUCCAGGACUUUAGCCGAUUUUCGAGCUGCUCUCCUUCUGCACGCGUUCGGGACCGUCUUCCCUUCAGGGACGGUCGCCGAGGAGCUGAAAUCUGCAGUUUUGCAGAAUUCAAUUUCUUAGCUCUCGAAAACCUUCCACAACUCAUUUCAAUCACUUUAACACCUUCGGACUUUCCGAAGUGUUCUCCUCGCAUUGGUCAAUUUGACUAAGUUCGACAUUUUUAUUUUUUCGAAUUUUCGGUAUAUUACAUCCACCCAUCCUAGGACUACUCCUAUCCUAGCACGCUUAACUCUCUUAACCUCUGUGGCCUUGCCACCACCCAAAAUGCUUAAGCCGGGUUAAGAGUUUAGCCCUAUUAUAUUCUCAUAUAUAGGACUACUCUGGGUCUCACAAUCUCCCCUCCUUUAAGCCCUGACGUCCUCGUCAGGCUCAGACUCACAAGUACCAGGCGAUGUGAGAUCUCUCGCUAUCCCGUCAUCCAGACUGGGCUCAGCCGAGACUCAAUCUCCACACUUCCGGCCUAGUAAUCUGGCUUGAGUACCAAUCUGGACGCCUCGCUUCCCAUGGGUUACUCACUAGCAUACAGACUACUGCCAUCCUAAGCAUUCCUAGCACGCUUAACUCUCUUAACCUCUUGGGCCUUGCCACCACCCAAAAUGCUUAAGCCGGGUUAAGAGUUUAGCCCUAUUAUAUCUCAUAUAUAGGACUAUCUGGGGUCUCACAUUGACACUUGGCAUUGAACAUAGGGAUUAGUUGAGUUCCCUAGUGUGGCAUAUUGCAUGAGAAUUUAGUGUAGUUGAUACUACUGCAUUGAAUAUAGGGACAGGUGAAUUUUCCUAGUUGUGAUUCGGGUAGAAAACCUAAAGUGUUAUGUUGAUAACCCUAGAUGGUAGGGUAUUCCAUGUUCCCAGUUCAUGAGAUUGGAUCAAGCUCACAUAGCCUGUCUGCACCUGUGGUGGUCGCUCCACACAGGUAGUGCACUCCGGAGUUUGUCACACGAGGGGGGCCAGUGUAGUUGCCCUUGGACCAUUGUAGCUGUCCGCAAGCGGUCUCGGGGGUAGUCGAGCAGUGGGACUCCUCCCCUAUGAGACUUACACACGUGAGACUGUGCGCGAGCCUCGAGUUUGCCGAGAGACUGGGUAACCUGAUGAGUUACAUUAUUAGUGUGCAUAAUAGCUUGGUACUUAGCCUUAGCCUUAUUGAUGAACCUAGUAGUAUGGUAGUUAGCCUUUACUAUGAGUUACAUCGAUAUUGAGCAUAGUCGCUUGGUAGUUGGAUUAGUGAAUUUGCCUACAUACAGUGAGUGGACGUACUAUUCCUUCACCUGUGAGAUCCGAGAGGGACAGCUUGUACCUAGUAGAGCGAGAUUGAGUCGGGCGAGGAGCGGGGUAGCUCUUUGCCUAGGACCUUUGAGAUUGAGUCAGGCAAGAAGCGGGGUAGCUCUUUGCCUAGGACCUUCGAGAUUGGGUCGGGCGAGGAGAGGGGUAGCUCUUUGCCUAGGACCGUUGAGAUUUGAGAUCUUAGGCAAGUUGGCCUAGUCGAUUGGGUUGUAACAUGAAUAGCAUAAGUGGAUUGCAUUCAUACCAUGAUUAGACAUAGUAGACUGCAUAACUAUGUUGUAGUUGUAUUCAUUACACUGUUGAAGCAUACUAGCAUGAUAGUAGGUUAUUGCUAGAUGAUGUUCCAUGCAUUCUUUGCAUUUGAUGGCAUAGUAGAUAUAGUAGCAGUUUAUUUCUAUCUACCUUUCUAUCUAUCUAUCUGUGCCAGCUUGGACCUAGUGGGAAGAUCGGCGGAGUCGGCGGCCGAACCUACUGGGAACUAUAUUUAUAUAGUUCUCACCCCGUGUGGUUUUGGGGUACAGGUAUACUCGAGAGCGGACCAGCAGAUGAUCGCGACAAGGGCUUAGUGCCCUAGUGCUAGUUGGUAGAUGCUUUCCUAUUGCAUUAGUUGUCACCCUAUAUACUUGAGAGUAGAUGAUGUAUAGGUGUGAGGCUAUUUUGGAAAAAUGUAAACUUUAAGUUAUGUUGUAUAUUGGCAGAAUGUAAAGUUAAUCAAAUGUAUAAAGUUGAAUGAAUGUAAUAACUUAGUCUCUCUCUCUUUUAUUCACUUGUAUGUUAUUACUCGUGAUGCUUGCUCAUGUGAUGUUCAGCACUGUUUGUACUCUCGCUAUUGUUGCAUGAUCGUGUAUGUAUUCAACUUGAUUUCCUGGGGACUUGUUGUACACGAUCGUGUUGUUUAGCCUUGGGCGGACAGGGGAGGUGCUGUCCGUACGACGGUCCGCCCGCCGCGCCCGAACCGUGCCAAAUCGGUAGCGGCCUCGGGGCGGGGGCGUGACAAUAUCCUUAGAGUUAAGGAUCGAUCAUACUUGCUAUGAGUUCCGUGCUCGAGGGCGGUCGCUCCCCCUCGAGCGAUGCGCUCCGGAGUUUUGCAUCACGGGUUGGAGUAAACCCGAGGACGGUUUUAGCGGGAGGCAGCUGAGGGCCCGCCAUGAUGGACUUAAUGUGGGCAAGUUAAUGUGACGAAACCCCCGGAUUAGCCGUGAGAUUAAAGAACAAGAACAAAGAUUAAAGAAUAAAGAGUAAAGAACAAAGAACCUGCAUACUUGCAUGAUUUGCGUUGAAAAUAUUUCCUUCUUUAUUGUUCAAACAUAUUAGCAUCAUGAUUAUAGUUUGGUUACUAUUCUGCUUAUCCUUUCUAUUAUGCCUGAGUUAGUCAUAGUGGGAAAGUCGGUGAGAUUGGUGCCGAACCCACUGGGAACUUUGUUGUAGCUCUCACCCCACUAUUUUCCACAGAGCCGGGACCGAGCAAGCCGGCGAGCGACCGCGGUAAAGGUAUCGCACCCUAGACAGUGGCCACCCGAGUCGGGCUUUAAAUUUUGUUAGUAGUAUACCCUUUUAUCAUCUUUUGUAUUUGAUGAUUUAAGAUGUUGAUGUAUCAAGCAAAGAAAGAAAAGAUUGUAAAGUUUAUUUUGAGGCAUUGUGAUGUAAUGAAAUGUAAAGAAUCAUGAAUAUGAAAGUUAAAUGCAAUGUAUGUGAUCAAAAGAGAAUUAUAGUACUUGUGUAGAUGUUUAGUUCCCUUUCUUUCACUCAUGGCUAUUGCUUACCCUCGUGUAAGCCGUUUGUGUAUGUUUCCGCUAGUGCACUUCUUGUUUGAAAAUGUACAGGUGAUGUGACGCCCCAACUUCCCAGGGGGUCACCCAUCCUAGGACUACUCCCAUCCUAGCACGCUUAACUCUCUUAACCACUUGGGCCUUGCCACCACCCAAAAUGCUUAAGCCGGGUUAAGAGUUUAGCCCUAUUAUAUCUCAUAUAUAGGACUACAUUGGUCUCAGCAAUCUCCCCUCCUUUAAGCCCUGACGUCGCUCAGUCAGGCUCAGACUCACAAGUACCAGACAGAUGUGUGACUCGUCUCGCAUCCGUCAUCCAGACCCUGCUCAGCCGAGACUCAUCUCACAUUCCGGCUGUAAUUGCUCUGAUACAUCUGUGACGCCCCGACUUCCCAGAGGGUCACCAUCCUAGGAACUACUCUCGUCCUAGCACGCUAACUCUCUAAAACCUCUUAGGCUUGCCACCACCAAAAUGCUUAAGCCGGGUUAAGAGUUUAGCCCUAUUAUAUCUUAUAUAUAGACUAUCUGGGGUUCACAAUCUCCCCUCCUUUAAGCCCUGACGUCCUCGUCAGACUCAGACUCACAAGUACCGCGAGGGAUGUGAGACUCGUCUCGCUAGCCGUCAUCCAGACCCUAUGGCUCAGCGAGACUGCAUCUCACACUUCCGUGGUAAUUGCGCUUCUGAUACCAUCCGUGACGCCCAGCUUCCCAGGGGUCACCCAUCCUAGGACUACUCCCGUCCUAAGCAUCGCUUAACUCUCUUAACUCGCGGCUUAAGCAUUUUGGGUGGUGGCAAGGCCCAAGAGGUUAAGAGAGUUAAGCGUGCUAGGACGGGAGUAGUCCUAGGAUGGGUGACCCCCUGGGAAGCUGGGGCGUCACAGGUGAUGAGCCUUGGGCGGAUAGGGAAAAUUCUGUCCGUUCGGCGUCUGUUUGACCUGCUCGGGCCGGCCCAAAUUGGUAUUGGCUCCGGGGGGCGAACGGCGCGGUUGGCGGCCGAACCCACUGGGAACUUCUUCUAGUUCUCAUUACCACUAACCCUGCAGACCCGUACGCAAGCGGGGCGGCGGAGGAUCGAGGCAAGGGUAUUGCACCGUAGCUAGCGGCCUCGGAGUAUAGGCAUACCCUACAUUUUGACUAUUCAACUUUUGUAUGUUGAACUAGUAAUGUAAAAUAAUGUAAACCUUAUACUUUGGGAUAAAAGCCAAUGUGAUGUAAAUGAAUGGAUAAAAUGAAUGUAAAUGUAAUAGUUUACUUGUGUUUGAUUCAAAGGAAAUCAAAUGACUUGUAUGUUGAAUGUUUAGUUAGUAUCGAUGCUUUCAUGUAUUUGUUGUUGUUUGCCCUCGUGCAAACCUUGUAUAUCUUGCAAUCUCCUUGUUGACUUGCUUGUAAUAUACAUGUUGUUUGAGCCUUGGGCGGACAGGGGAGCUGCUGAUCGUUCGGCGUUUGUUCGCGUGCCCGAACCGACCAAAUUGGCGGCCCCCGGGGCGUGACAGAUAUGGUGGUAUCAGAGCGAUGUGAAAGCAAAAGUUUAGGAUGGACUUAGGGACCUUAGGAUUGGAAACUUAAGGAAUUUAGGACAUGUAUGACGUGGACUUGGAGAUGCGAAGGCUAAUGGAUUGGGUUAUGAUUAAAACUUCUCUAAAAGGAGUUAGAGAAGGAUUCAAGUGCUUAUUGUUUUCUUCUUGAAAUGUUAUGUGGGCGGCCGACUACAUGACGCCGAGAGUUGAAAAUGAACACACUUGUUUGCUUUCGCUUGAUUCGGUAGUUCUUUGGAACGUAUAAGGUGAGUAUGUCGAGUAUUAAUGCGUGUGUUAACGUUUCAGGAACAAAUGUCCCCGAGACGUUAUACGCGUCGGUCCGCUUCGGCAUUACCUGAUGAGGUGCCCGAGCAAGUUGGAUCUGAUGAAGUCCGAGAGUUGCGGACCCAAGUAGCAACUUUGACUGGGGCUAUACGACAGCAAGGGGAUCAGAUAGGAUGGCUCCAUGAGUUGGUGGCUCGACAGGCAGCGGCGGCUGCACCUGUACCUCAGGACCCGCCCAUACCUGUAGCACCUACUCCGGUGGCGGCGGCACCGGUGACGGCUUUUCCUCCGACGGCUUCGGGUUCUUCAGCUCCUAUCCCGGAGGUACUUGAGGCCGAGCAGGAGUGGUCGUUGGCGGUGUUGACGGCCUUCAAGCAAUUUAAUCCUCCGACCGUUUUGGGUGAUGUGAAUGACCCAUGGUUGAUGGAGUCAUGGCUUUCCGCGAUGGAGGCGUUGUUUGAAGAUAUCUACACCCUCGAGAAGGACAAGGUUCGUCUGUCGGCUCACUGUUUAGAGGGGCCGGCUCGAUCAUGGUGGACGCGAGUAAAGAAUGGUCGGUCUUUGGAUCCGGCUACAUGUCUUGGGAGACGUUCCGGGAGAUCCUGUUAAUAGAGUAUUUCCCAGAAAGCGACAAGUGGAAGAUCAAGGAGGACUUUCACAAAUUAAGGCAAGGAAACCGAACGGUGCAGGAGUACGAAAGGGAGUUCUCGCACAUGGUGGAUUGUGUUUCGGGCUUGGUUCAUGGAGACCGGGACCGAGCGGAGGUCUUCGAGCGCGGCAACGCCUUCGGGUGAAGACCUAUGAAGAGGUACUCGAUCGCGCGCUGUGGGUAGAGCGCGGCAACGCCAUUGUGCGCGAGGAAUGCGAGGCGUUGAAAGGGACAAGGAUAAGGAAAAGUCCAAGAAGCCACCGGCUUGUGGUUCCACUGGGCAGUCGAGUUCUAAGCAACCCCUUUGGUACCCAAGAUCGCAUUGGCGGGGAGGCAGAGGCCAGUCAAGGAGUCAGAUGACUUCCUUCCCGUGUGUGAUCUGUGGCGGAAACCACAAGUCGAGUGAUUGUUCUCAGCGCGAUGGGAGGUGUUUCCGAUGCGGCCAAGCGAGACACAUGAGUUGGGAUUGCCCGGGCGGCGCGUCACCUACUUCGUCAGCUACUUUGGCUAAGUAUGCUCCACGACAGCUUGCAGGGCUGCCACCUGCUAUGUCGGCUGGGCGCGCUUCAGCACCGCGUCAGCCGGAGGGGUCACGUGCAUCGAGUGGACGGGUUUUCGCCACUCAGGUGGAGGAGCAGUCUGCUGUACCGGAGGACGUCGUGGCAGGUAUUAUUCUAAUUAAUGGCAUUAGAGCUAGAGCAUUGUUUGAAACGGGUGCAUCACACUCAUUCAUUGGUGCAUCGUUUGCUAAGACUCAUGGCAUGGAGAUAGUACAUAAUUAUGACUAUUGGUGGGUUAACGCACCAGAGCAUUUGUUUAGAGUUCACGAGCAGUGCUUAGCUUGUCCGGUUCAAAUAGGCGAGUGGAUCAUGCCGGCGAACUUACUAGUGUUGAAGCAGAUGUGGAGAUUUGAUCUCAUCUUAGGAGUUAAUUGGCUCUCCAAGUAUUAUGCCAGCAUUGACUGUGACAGUAAGGUGAUCACUUUUCGUGAGCCUGGUCAAGAGGAGCUCGUGUAUCAAGAGUGCAAAAGUUCGCGCUUCGCGGUGACUGUGUCGGCGCCGAGGGCGAGAAAGAUGAUCAAAAGUGGAUGUAAGGCCUAUUUGGCGACUAUCGUGGAUGCUCAGAAGGAACACCCCAAACUUGGAAAUAUCCGAAUUGCGUGUGAAUUUUCGGAUGUGUUUCCGGCGGAGUUACUGGGAUUGCCACCGGAUCGGGAGAUCGAGUUUGUCAUUGACUUAGUUCCCGGUGCGGCGCCAGUUUCGAAGGCUCCGUAUAGAAUGGCACCGGCGGAGCUUAAGGAGUUAAAGGCCCAGUUGCAGGACUUGCUUGACAAAGGCUUUGUGAGGCCGAGCGUGUCAUCAUGGGGAGCUCCGGUGCUCUUUGUUAAGAAGAAGGACGGUACACUUCGACUCUGCGUCGCGAGUUGAAUAAAGUGACGGUCAAGAAUAAAUACCCGUUGUCGAGAAUAGAUGACCUGUUUGAUCAGUUACAGGGUUGCGGGUAUAUUCGAAGAUAGACCUUUAGUCGGGAUAUCACCAGUUGAAGAUCCGGCCGAAGGAUGUACAUAAAACGGCGUAUCGUACGCGGUACGGCCACUAUGAGUUUACGGUGAUGCCGUUUGGGCUUACGAAUGCCCCGGCAGCAUUUAUGGACUUAAUGAAUCGAGUCUUUCAACUGUUGUUGUACAGGUGCGUCGUGGUGUUUAUCGAUGACGUGUUAGUGUUCUCGUGGAGUGAAGAAGAGCACGAGGAACAUCUAAGAACCGUGUUGCAAAUACUUCGAAAUGAGAUGCUUUAUGCUAAGCUUAAGAAGUGCGAGUUUUGGCUUUCGGAGGUGACCUUCUUAGGCCAUGUGCUAUCCGGGAGCGGAGUCUCGGUAGACCCAAGGAAAAUUGAGGCGAUUCGAGAUUGGCCUCGUCCAACGAGUGUGGCUGAACUCCGCAGUUUCCUCGGAUUGGUGGGCUAUUAUCGGCGUUUUGUGGAGGGGUUUGCGAAGCUGACUACUCCUCUCACACGCCUGACGCACAAAGGAGUAAGAUUUGUGUGGAACGAUGGUUGCGACCAAAGCUUCCAAGAGUUGAAAGAGAAGUUGACAUCUAUCCCGGUACUUGCUUUACCAACGCCGGGAGAGAGCUUCGUGGUGUAUAGUGAUGCUUCCUACAAUGGGCUCGGGUGUGUUCUUAUGCAAAAUGGGCGAGUCAUUGCGUAUGCUUCGCGCCAGUUGAAGAGCUAUGAGAAGAAUUACCCGAUACAUGAUCUGGAGUUAGCGGCGGUCAUUUUCGUGCUAAAGCUAUAGAAGCACUAUCUUUAUGGUGAGCAUUGUGAGGUAUAUACCGAUCACAAGAGCCUCAAGUACUUGUUCACCUAGAAAGAGUUAAACAUGCGGCAGCGGCGGCGGUUGGAGCUGUUGAAGGAUUAUGACCUUACUAUCCUGUACCACCCCGGGAAGGCCAACGUGGUUGCCGAUGCACGAAGUAGAAAGUCAGUUGAAAACUUGGUGACGGCGAUUACUAGUCAACCAUUGUUGCAAAAGGAAAUGCAACGGUUUGGAUUGGAAGUGGUGGCGCCGGAGGUUGUGACUAUCUUGGCGGCACUAGUGGUUCGACCGACCUUAUUGGAGCGAAUCAAAGAGCGGCAAGUUGAUGAUUCAUAUCUCCAAAAGGUGUGGGAUAACAUUGACGGCGGACGCGCCGGUGACUUCGGCGUGGGAUCCGACGGUGCACUUCGGUUCAGAAAUCGGUUGUGUGUGCCCAAAGAUGAUGAAGUUCGCAAGAUGGUGUUGCAAGAGGCGCAUCAUUCCCCGUAUAGUAUUCACCCGGGUGGCACUAAGAUGUACAAGGAUCUAAAGUUACAUUAUUGGUGACCGGAAAUGAAGAAAGACAUGGGGAAGUUUGUGGCGCAGUGUUUAACGUGCCAACAAGUGAAGACUGAGCGUCGAUUUCCCGCGGAAAAGUUGCAGAGCUUACCAAUCCCCGUGUGGAAAUGGGAGGACAUAGCAAUGGACUUUGUGGUCGGAUUACCCUGAUCGCAAGCUCGACAUGAUGCCAUAUAGGUGGUUGUGGACCGUUUGACGAAGUCGGCUCAUUUCUUGCCGAUCCACAACACGUGGUCAGGAGACAAGUUAGCACAAGUCUACUUGGGCGAGGUAGUGAGAUUGCAUAGGGUUCCAUUAUCGAUUGUAUUAGAUCGAGACCCCCGGUUCACUUCUCAUUUCUAGAAGAGCUUGCAGAAUGCUCUAGGCACGCGGCUCGAUUUCAGUACGGCGUUUCAUCCUCAAAGUGAUGGCCAGUUAGAGAGGACAAUUCAAAUACUCGAGAAUAUGUUGCGAGCGUGUGUACUUGAUUAUAGUGGAGGGUGGCAUGAGUAUUUGCCGAUGGCGGAGUUCGCUUACAAUAACAGUUAUCAAGAAAGUAUAGCGAUGGCGCCGUUUGAGGCUGUCACGCCCCGGGACCCAGCGGAAGCCCGCCCGGCGCGUGCCCAGACCCGCCAUAUGUCUACAACAUAUAAGGCGUCUAAAAACAACAAUAAUAAAAGCACUAAUACAAGACAUCUAGGAGUAUCAGAGCAUAAUAAAAGUCUAAAUGUUACAACAAGGGAUAAGGUUAAAACUGUAAAUCCACUAAAUAGAACAUAAUGUGGUACAAGAAAAUCCCAGAUACAAGUGCUAUAGGUAGAUACAUAGGUGGUCUCUAUACAUGGAUGCAAAACCUCUCACUCUCUCAACUACAAAAGAAAGAGUAACCACCUAGGCAAGGUACCGCUCCUCGCUAGCUAGCUAAGCGACCCCCUUGCCGCGAUCCCGUGCCUCCGCCGGUGCCGAAGGCUCUGAAAAGGAAACCAUAAAACAGGGGCGUGAGAACUAUUAAAAAUAGUUCCCAGUGGGCAAUUACUGACUUCAGUGAAUGCACCACACGGCCCAAAGCUACAAAAGAGGUCAGUGACUAUAAAAGUAGAAAAGCGAAAAGUAAGUAAAAAUGUAACUUACUACAACAUGAUAUCUCUACUUAGCAUAAUUAACAUAAGUACGAAGCAACUAUACAUGAAGUAAAAGUCUCCAACUAUCAUAAUGUUCACAAUGCGAAAUAGUAAAGUACCGAUGUUUACUAUUCUAGUCAAUGUCCAAGUAAUACUCUAAGUCAUCAUCUGUCCACAUGUCAUAAUAAACACUCAAAGUCAAAUCUGAAGAGACCCACCCGAAGGCUGUCUAUGGCCCUGAGACCCACCCGAAGGCUGUCUGGCCGGUGCCGAGCCUAAUGGCCCCGUGGUAGUCAACAUCCCCACCCUAGGAAUGAGCCUGGCCCACGGCAAUCCACUUCGGCGCCCAAUCCCGCAUGGCGAAUAUGAAUCGCGAUGGCUAUCUCCGGAGUGCCGGCUUAUAGGGAGCGACCCUCACAAGCAUGUGCGAAUGAGCACAAUGGCAAGUAAUCAAACGAUCUGUCGUAAGUACCAAGUCCUCAUGUCUAAUAACAUGGAAUGUGUCAAGUAUAUCAAUGGCCUAUCCCUAUGUCAUCAUGUCUCUAACAUGGAAUAUAGCAGAUGUGGAGUGGCCUAUCAAUAUGUCUCUAUGUUGCAGUUUCAUAGUUUACUAGUCUCAAGUGCCCCUUGAUGACACUCUUGUUCUCUAUGUCAAAGCAUGGCAACUAUGUUCCAAAGUACAUAUUCCAAGUCAUAAUCCUCAUAAGAGAUGUAUUUUCCACUUGCAAAAUAAACAUUUUUCCCAUAUGCAUGCAUUCUACUCAUAUAGCUCUACUAUAUAGUGAAAUUUUCAUGAUACACAAGGCAUGCAUUUUAAGUGCUCCAAAAUUCAUAUAAAUCCCAUUUAGCAUAGAAGUGAAUUUAAAAAUAUUUUACAACAAAUAGAAAGAGCAUAGGGGCCAUUUCGCCCCAUUUCCCCGAAGCCAAACCCACCGAUGACGACGAAACUCCUCGUUCGCUCCAACGAGGGUGUCCUCUAGUCUCCUAGUACCCUAAAGGUGUGAGAACAUGUGUCAUCUAGUCGAAACGAACGACGCUAAGUUCAAUCUUUAAGCUAUUCAAGCAUAGGUGGAGGAAAACUGACCUCUAGUGCAAAAUCUCCUCUAAAGCUCCGAAAGAGAGCUAGAGUCCAUCCAAUCCCACCUAAUGGAAGCCUCUAAACCAAUCAAUCUAGCUUCAAAAGCCCUAGAUUCAAAAUACCCAAAAUAAACCCUAAUAUCACAAUCUCUCCUAUCAAAGUCAUCCUGAUACGAUCGUCAACCAAAGUCAAUUCAUCAGUCCUCAUAUAAGGUUCUAUCCUGAAGGACUCAAUUCCUUGUAACGCGCUCCUGACACGGGAAUUAUCAACUUGGUACCUUCCCUCAUCCAGUUUUCCAUCCAUUCAGUGAGAGUUCCACAACUCAAUCACCUCAAACCUGCCUACGCAGUCCAACCUCGCACAUCCUAUCAAAAUACCCCAAGUCAUCCGCAACGGUUCUACAAAUCCACCCAGAGGCUCGGAUUAUCAUUCCGCGAACCCUUCCACAGGUAGAGUAUUAUAGCUUAGCAGCAUCAUCCUCGUGAUGUCCACACCUAGCAUCACAAACCCAUUUGAGGUACGACCUCAAACUCCAACAUCAACAGCAUUACUCAGAUUACUCACAAUCUUAACAAGUACACCCACAACUCAAGGCCAUCUGACAAGGUCAAUGGGCCUCAGCAACGGUCUAAACCUCCAAUCGUGGUUCAAUUUGAAUCACGAGAGUCGACAUACAGUCGGAACGGCCCAACCGUCCCACAACAGGUGAGAGUGCUCUUCCACGAGGCAAAACACCAUCUAUAAAAUCUCCCUGUCAAUUGAGCUAACGAUUAGUGACUCGAUCGGACAUAACGACCGAUCAAGGACAUUCUUUAUUUCAAGGAUUCUCGAUCACCCAAAGCUAAUGGCCACUCAGGCCCCAACCCUCUCCAACACUUACCCUAUUUUAGGUAAGGGAGACUAUCAACGCAUCUAGCGAAGUAAAUCCUCAAAUCGCACUAUUUCGUGCUCACCGUCCUCAAGGCGAGUCAAGUCAGCUCGCAAUCCAAGGGUACCCAGGUACCCCUAACAACUCCACACAAAGGAAGGCCAAUCUAUUUGUUGCACACAGAAUCAUCUCACGGGUAGGGCGUUCGAAAACGACACACCCGAUCACCGAUCAUCCACACACGCCGAAAAGGUUCACACUACAAAAUCCUCAGGUUGGGUAACUACACACUAAGUGUGUCUCGAUCUCACGAUCCAACACGUGGCUUUCCACGUUCUAGGGUCCACGCUCAGACUACCAUCCUGACCAAAAACUCUGCCCUACCCGCAGGGUACAGGGCGCUGGCACCACAGCCGACGCACCUGCCCAAGGGCCCAGGCUCCAAGUCCCCAAAUGGUCCAAGCACGGGUCUCUCCAAGCACUAUCCGGCAAACAGCCGAGUCCGGGGUACAACUAAUGCAAUCCUCGUGAAAUCUACAAGCAUAGCAAAAUAUGCCACCCGCAACCCGCAAAUCAAUCGCCUGGCUCGAGAGCUACACAAUGUCGCAAACAGCGAAACUAACGAAAUGUAAUGCAACUCGUGAAUACGAUCAUACAGAUGCAAUGCUCCAAUAACCAACAGAUGCACAACUCGAAUGCCACAAACGAAACUGAUACCUGUAGUCACAAACUCGCCGCUGCCGCUACUCUGUCUGGGCCACGUACAGGCGUCUGCUCAGGGCCCGUCGUGACCCUCCGUCUGUCGCUGACGGGUGGCCUUCCGGCCUGACAGUGAGUAAAAGCAUCCCCCGGCUGGGAUCCGGUAAUACUGUACCGAUGCUGAAGAUGGCGCGAUGCUAACCCCUCCGAACAGUCUGCAGGAGUGACCCUCCUGGCCACACGAGUAGCACCUGCCCUGCCAUCUGUGAGCACUGCUGCGGGAAAUGACGGCCACCGCAGAUCACGCAGCUCUGAGUCUGAUGACGCUCGGAUCCUCUAUGCCGUGCUGAUGGCCGUUCUCCGACUGCUGCCUGGCUCCAGUUCUCGGCGGCCUCCCAGAGGUGCGUCUGACUCACCCUCAGUCACGGUCUCAUGCCAUUUCCUUUGUUUGAGCCUUUCCGAGUUUCUGUAGUCUGCCGCGCAGCUUUCCACGAUGGAGCGCGGUUACCACAUUUUGGUAAGUUGAGGAGUGGAGGUUCACAACCGUAAAAUCGACGACCGAAGUCCUCGGCUCGAAGAUGCGAGCUUAUCCUCGUCGUCUCGCACAACAAAGGGCGCAUAGCGUAGAAGCUGAGAGAACUCCUCUCGUACUCGGCCACAGUCCGAUCCUCCUGGCGAUCUCGCGCAAUCCUGCUCCACUUUCUCUUCACCGCGACGAGAGUAUAUGCUCUAAUAAGAGCUCCUUGAAUCUCAAGAAUCGCUGCUAGUCGGUCGGGAUUAUCCUGGAUGCCACACCACCAACUAUAGCCGCCAUCCAAAUGUGAGUGGCGAGCCAAACUCUAUCUCUCUUCUCCACGAAGGUGUCGCGGAAUAACUUCUCAUAAUCAGUCAACCACUUUCAACGAUCAGUGGUCGAUUUUCUCUCCAUCAAAGAUCUGGGAUCGCGCUCCUGAACUCGUCGAGGCAGAUCCAUGAGCGCUGCCGCUCCGCUCUUUCAACCAUCAAGGGAAAAGUCGCCGCUGUCACAGACACCUGAGCGGUGGUGCUGUCAAUGCCUUCUCCCGAAGGGCUACCGUAAGUGUCAUCUGCGAAGUGCGAGUACAGGGAGAUGACCCACGGGCGCAACUAUUUCAACUGCGCGGGUAGUACCGAGACCGAGCCUCCCCGGCAGCUGCCUGUUGUAAAAGAAGGUCCUCCAGGCGCGCAUCGUACUUCCUGUCGGCGUGCGUAUCCACCAGCUGUCGAGCCGCCGCCGCCUGCUGCGUCACCAGAUCAGUGAGGGCCACAAGCUGACUCCUCAAUCACGGACCUCUUUGGAUAGCGGAGGCAGCGGGUAUCUCCGCUUCCUCAAAGUCGCGCAUCGUCCGCUCCAACUACUUAGUGCGUGAAGUAGCAUUGACACUACAACAUCAUAAAAGCGCAAGUUAAUAUAACCCACGCUAUCGCAACCCGCUUCAAUAAUAUAAUCCCAAUAUGCGAAAGUAAAGAGUCCCAACUACUAACUCCGAUGUUACAUGUCGGCGCCAACGUAACGCUCGCGGAAGUUAGAAGUCAAACUACGAUUUAACUCACUUUCUAGAGUUAUCCAAGAUACCCAAUCCAGAUACUUUCGCUUACAAGUCAAAUAGACCUCGUCUCUCCCGAGCCUAUUUCCUAUAGUCCAAUCCGGCCUAAGGUUUGCUAGGUCCCCUAAUACUCAACCCUAGCUCUGAUACCAAAUUAAUCUGUCCAUAUAUCUAUCUGUUUAUUGAACUAACCUGCAGGUUGCCUCUCUUUGACCUAUUGGUCGAGCUUUUCCCUUGGGUGGCCGUACCCACUGGGAACCAUGGAGUUGGUUCUCACCCCACGUUGUUUUGGGGUGUUACAGGUUCGCACGUGAGCGGCGCGGCGGCGCGAGGCAAGGGCGUAGCUUCGUAGAUAGCGCCCUACCCAGAGACCAGAGUUAGCAGUACCCCGUCGACAUAGCUUAGGGGUAUGGGGUGUUAUUAAUGAAAAGAACACAAUGUAUCAACGUGUAAAUAAAUUUGUAAGAACUUAGAUUGCAUUUGGAUGAAAAAGAAUGUAAAAAGAACUGUGAUGUAAAAAGUAUGAAUGUAAAUGUUUGUAAUAAUAUAGGAUGUGUUUAUGUUGUUUGAUACCUUCCAUUAUGCAAUCUUGAUUGAUAUCAGUUCCUGAUUGGAACCUUCGUAUUGUAUGGAUUGCGUUGCCUUGAAUGUACAGGGGAGACUCUGUCCGCAGUACAGGGGAAACCCUGUCCAUUCGGCGAUGUCGGCGGCGCUGCGACCUCGGCCAAAUAGGCGGGUGGUCGCGAGUCGUGACAGGAACACUGUCAACGACCCACCAGAAAGUCUGGAAAAGCUCGACACACAAAUCAAACACUCGAACCUCGCAAUUUGCAAAGGUCCAGUGUGUUACAUUCACCCCUCCUAAAAAGGAGUUUCGUCCGCGAAACUCAAGGCAGAAACACACCUCAAGGCUCCAUCUGAAAAAGAUGAGGAUAGCGCUCCUGCAAAGCGCUCUCUAGUUCCCACGUUGCCUCCCGCUCCCCGUGGUUGCUCCAAAGAACCUUCACAUACGGAAUAUCCCGAUUCCGCAGUUUCUUCAUUUCGCGAGCCAAAAUCUUCACUGGUUGCUCCUCGAAGCUCAAAUCCUCGCGCAGCUCCACUGGUAUAGCUUCCAAGACAUGAGCUGGAUCAAGAAUGCACCUCCGAAGGACCGAUACAUGAAAGACGUUGUGCACGCCAGAUAGGUUCGGUGCUAGAGCAAGUCGAUACGCUACCGGACCCAUACGCUCCAAGAUCUCAUACGGUCCAAUGAAACGGGGGCUCAACUUUCCCCGAAUCCCGAAUCUCUUGAUUCCUCUAGUCGGCGAGACUUUCAAGAAAACAUGGUCUCCCACUUGGAACUCCAAGUCCCGCCGCCGUCGAUCAGCGUAGCUCCUCUGUCUACUCUGCGCCGUCAAAAGUCGCUCCCGAGCAAUUCGAACCUUAUCCUCAGCUUCCUGGAGCACAUCAGGGCCUAAAGCCAAUCUCUCGCCGACUUUACUCCAAUGAAGUGGCAAUCUACACUUCCGUCCAUAGAGUGCUUCAAACGGCGCCAUCUUGAUGCUUGCUUGAUAACUGUUGUUAUAAGCAAACUCCGCCAUAGGUAGAUGCUGCGACCAUCCUCCCUGGAAAUCCAUCACACAUGCCCGGAGCAUAACCUCUAAAGUCUGUAUAGUGCACUCCGACUGUCCAUCACUCUGCGGGUGGAAUGCGGUGGUGAAAUCCAAUCAAGUGCCCAAAACGUCCUGCAGACUCCUCCAAAAGAGAGACACGAACCGAGUGUCUCGAUCUGAUACUAUCGGUGUAGGCACUCCAUGAAGUCGCACAAUCUCGUCGAGGUACACUUGUGCGAGCUUCUCCCCAGUCCAAGUCAUAUGAAUACGUAUGAAGUGCGCCGACUUCGUCAAUCUAUCCGCGAUCACCCAAAUAGCAUCAUGCCCAGCCUGUGAGCGAGGCAAUCCUGUCACAAAGUCCAUGGUGAUCUUCUCCCACUUCCACACAGGGACAGGUAAACUCCGAAGCUUCCCUGCGGGAACUCGGUGCUCCACUUUUACUUGUUGGCAAGUUAGACAACGAGCCACAAACUCACCAACGUCCUUUUUCAUCUCGGGCCACCAAUGAAGCAACUUUAGAUCCUUGUACAUCUUGGUGCCACCCGAAUGUAUAGCAUAGAGCGCCCGGUGCGCUUCUUGAAGAAUAUCUUCUUUAAUCCCCGAAUCCGCGGGUAUACAAAUCCGCCCACGGAAACGUAUCCAUCUCAGAUCAUCCCAAAAGGGAGUCGCUGGUGCAACCAUCAACCAUUUUACCUUGAAUCUUUUGCAAUUCCAAAACGAAAACUUGCUUCUCUUUGAUCCUAUCCAAAAGACUAGGUUGCACUACCAAAUUCAUCAACCUCAAAUUCACCACUCGGGAGUACUCUCAAUCCCACUGCAAAAUAUGGUCGGGGCUAAGCUCAAAAGCUUCAUCAGUCUACUAAGAUCGUCAUCUUAGUGCUAACUCAAGUCCAAGUAAACUCUCACAAGCCUAGGCCAAAAGGCCUAGCUUCGACAGAAGGCUCACAACGCAAUCACUUUGAAAUUUCCGAUCCCAAUGCCUUUCCUAGCAUUGGAUGCUCCAGGUGUCCAUGGUCCCCAACUCAAUUCUCGCGAUAGAGGUGGAUCAAUCCACCGUUCAACGACAGCUCUCUAUCAAAGUCAUCCUGAUGCGAUCGUCAAACCAAAGUCAAUUCCAUCAGUCCUCAUAUAAGGUUCUAUCCUGAAGGACUCAAUUCCUUGUACGCGCUCCUGACACGGGGAAUUAUCAACUUGGUACCUUCCCUCUCACAAGUUUUCCAUCCAUCAGUGAGAGUUCCACAACUCAAUCACCUCAAACCUGCCUACGCAGUCCAACCUCGCACAUCCUAUCAAAAUACCCCAAGUCAUCCGCAACGGUUCUACAAAUCCACCCAGAGGGCUCGGAUUUAUCAUUCCGCGAACCCUUCCACAGGUAGAGUAUUAUAGGCUUAGGCAGCAUCAUCCUCGUGAUGUCCACACCUAGCAUCACAACCCAUUUGAGGUACGACCUCAAACUCCAACAUCAACAGCAUUACUCAGAUUACUCACAAUCUUAACAAGUACACCCACAACUCAAGGCCAUCUGACAAGGUCAAUGGGCCUCAGCAACGGUCUAAACCUCCAAUCGUGGUUCAAUUUGAAUCACGAGAGUCGACAUACAGUCGGAACGGCCCAACCGGUCCCACAACAGGUGAGAGUGCUCCUCCACGAGGCAAAACACCAUCUAUAAAAUCUCCCUGUCAAUUGAGCUAACGAUUAGUGACUCGAUCGGGGACAUAACGACCGAUCAAGGACAUUCUUUAUUUCAAGGAUUCUCGAUCACCCAAAGCUAAUGGCCACUCAGGCCCCAACCCUCUCCAACACUUACCCUAUUUUAGGUAAGGGAGACUAUCAACGCAUCUAGCGGAAGUAAAUCCUCAAAUCGCACUAUUUCGUGCUCACCGUCCUCAAGGCGAGUCAAGUCAGCUCGCAAUCCAAGGGUACCAGGUACCCCUAACAACUCCACACCAAGGAAGGCCAAUCUAUUUGUUGGCACACAGAAUCAUCUCACGGGGUAGGGCGUUCGAAACGACACACCCGAUCAACCGAUCAUCCACACACGCCGAAAGGUUCAACACUAACAAAUCCUCAGGUUGGGUAACUACACACUAAGUGUGUCCUCGAUCUCACGAUCCAACACGUGGCUUUCCACGUUCUAGGGUCCACGCUCAGACUACCAUCCUGACCAAAACUCUGCCCUACCCGCAGGUACAGGGCCGCUGUCACACACAGCCGACUGCACCUGCCCAACGGGCCCAGGCUCCACAGUCCCCAAAUGGUCCAAGCACGGUCGUCUCCAAGCACUAUCCGGCAAACAGCCGAGCCGGGGUACAACUAAUGCAAUCCUCGUGAAAUCUACAAGCAUAGCAAAAUAUGCCACCCGCAACCCGCAAAUCAAUCGCCUGGCUCGAGAGGCUACACAAUGUCGCAAACAGCGAACUAACGAAAUGUAAUGCAACUCGGUGAAUAGCCGAUCAUAGAUGCAAUGCUCCAAUAACCAACAAUGCACAACUCGAAUGCCACAAACGAAACUGAUACCUGUAGUCACAAACUCGGCCGCUGCCGCCUACUCUGUCUGGGCCACGUACAGGCGUCUGCUCAGGGCCCGUCGUGACCCUCCGUCUGUCGCUGGACGGGUGGCCUUCCGGCCUGACAGUGAGUAAAAGGCAUCCCCCGGCUGGGAUCCGGUAAUACUGGUACCGAUGCUGAAGAUGGCGCUGAUGCUAACCCCCUCGAACAGUCUGACAGGAAGUGACCCUCCUGGCCACACGAGUAGCACCUGCCCUGCCUCUGUGAGCACUGCUGCGGGUAAUGACGGCCACCGCAGAUCACGCAGCUCUGAGUCUGAUGACGCUCGGAUCCUCUAUACAGUGCUGAUGAGCCACGUUCUCGCGACUGGCUCCAGUUCCUGGAAUGUCUCGGCGGCCUCCCAGAGUGCGUCUGACUCGCACCCUCAGUCACGGGUCUCAUACCAUUUCCUUUGUUUGAGCCUUUCCGACGCUCCUGUAAGUCUGCCGCGCAGCUUUCCACGAUGAGGGCGCGGUUCACCACGUCUUGGUAAGUCUGAAGGUGGAAGGGUUGCACCAACCGUAAAAUCGAUGACCGAAGUCCUCGCUCGAAGAUGCGAGCCUUAUCCUCGUCGUCUCGCACAACAAAGGGCGCAUAGCGUAGAAGCUGAGAGAACUCCCUCUCGUACUCGGCCACAGUCCGAUCCUCCUAGCGCAUCUCGGGCAGAUCCUGCUCCACUUUCCUCUUCACGCGGACGAGGAAGUAAUGCUCUAAUAAGAGCUCCUUGAAUCUCUUUCAAGAAAUCGCUGCUAGGUCGGUGUCGGGAUUAUCCUGGAUGCCCACCCACCAACUAUAGGCCUCGCCGUCCAAAUGGUGAGUGGCGAGCCAAACUCUAUCUCUCUCCUCCACGAAGGUGUCGCGGAAUAACUUCUCCAUAUGCGUCAACCACUUCUCAACGAUCCAGUGGUCGGUUUUCUCUCCAUCAAAGAUCCUGGGAUCGCGCCUCCGGAACUCGUCGAGGCGAUCCAUGAGCCGCUGCCGCUCCGCUCUUUCAACCAUCAAGGGAAAAGUCGCCGCUGUCACAGACACCUGAGCUGGUGGUGCUGUCAAUGCCUUCUCCCGAAGGGCUACCGUAAGUGUCAUCUGCGAAGUGUCGAGUACAGGGGAUGACCCCCCCGGGCGCAACUAUUUCCACUGGUGCGGGUAGUACCGAGACCUGAGCCUCCCCGGCAGCUGCCUGUUGUAGAAGAAGGUCCUCCAGUCGCUGCAUCCGUACCUCCUGUCGGCGUGCCGUAUCCACCAGCUGUCGAGCCGCCGCCGCCUGCUGCGUCACCAGAUCAGUGAGGGCCACAAGCUGACUCCUCAACUCACGGACCUCUUUGGAUCCGGAGGCAGCGGGUAUCUCCGCUUCCUCAAAAGUCGUCGCAUCGUCCGCUCCAACUAACUUAGAGCGUGAAGUCGGCAUUGACACUUCAACAUCAUAAAAGCGCAAGUUAAUAUAACCCACGCUAUCGCAACCACGCUCAAAUAAUAAUACCCCAAAUCAUGCGAAAGUAAAGAAGUGUCCCAACUACUAACUCCCGAUGUUACGUUGUCGGCGGCCAACGUAACGCUCCGCGAAGUUAGAAGUCAAACACUCCGAUUUAACUCCACUUUCUAGAGUUAUCCAAGAUACCCAAUCCAGAUACUUUCGCUUACAAGUCAAAUAGACCUCGUCUCUCCCGAGCCUAUUUCCUAUAGUCCAAUCCGGCCUAAGGUUUGCUAGGUCCCCUAAGACUCAACCCUAGGCUCUGAUACCAAAUUAAUCUGUCACGCCCCGGGACCCAGCGGAAGCCCGCCCGGCGCGUGCCCAGACCCGCCAUAUGUCUACAACAUAUAAGGCGUCUAAAAACAACAAUAAUAAAAGCACUAAUACAAGACAUCUAGGAGUAUCAGAACAGAAUAAAAGUCUAAAUGCUACAACAAGGGAUAAGGAUAAAGCUGUAAAUCCACUAAAUAAACAUAAAGUGAUACAAGGAAAAUUUCAAAUACAAGUGCUAUAGGUAGAUACAUAGGUGGUCUCUAUACAUGGAUACAAAAACUCUCACUUUCUCAACUACAAAAGAAAGUGUAAACCACCUAGGCAAAGUACCGCUCCUUGCUAGCUAGCUAAGCGAUCCCCGUGCCGCGAUCCCGUGCCUCCGCCGGUGCCGAAGGCUCUGAAAAGGAAACCAUAAAACAGGGGCGUGAGAACUAUAAAAAAAUAGUUCCCAGUGGGCAAUUACUGACUUCAGUGAAUGCACCACAAGGCCCAAAGCUACAAAAGAGGUCAGUGACUAUAAAAGUAGAAAAGCGAAAAGUAAGUAAAAAUGUAACUUACUACAAUAUGAUAUCUCUACUUAGCAUAAUUAGCAUAAGUACGAAGCAACUAUGCAUGAAGUAAAAGUCCCCAACUAUCAUAAUGUUCACAAUGCGAAAUAGUAAAGUGCCGAUGUUUACUAUUCUAAUCAAGGUCCAAGUAAUACACUAAGUCAUCAUCUGUCCACGUGUCAUAAUGAACACUCAAAGUCAAAUCUGAAGAGACCCACCCGAAGGCUGUCUAUGGCCCUGAGACCCACCCGUAGGCUGUCUGGCCGGUGCCGAGCCUAAUGGCCCCGUGGUAGUCAUCAUCCCCACCCUAGGAAUGAGCCUGUCCCACGGCAAUCCACUUCGGCGCCCAAUCCGCAACGGCGAAUAUGAAUCGUGAUGGCUAUCUCCGGAGUGCCGGCUUGUAGGGAGCGACCUCACAAGCAUGUGCGAAUGAGCACAAUGGCAAGUAAUCAAACGAUCUGUCGUAAGUACCAAGUCCUCAUGUCUAAUAACAUGGAAUGUGUCAAGUAUCUCAAUGGCCUAUCCCUAUGUCAUCAUGUCUCUAACAUGGAAUAUAGCAGAUGUGGAGUGGCCUAUCAAUAUGUCUCUAUGUUGCAGUUUCAUAGUUUACUAGUCUCAAGUGCCCUUGAUGACACUCUUGUUCUCUAUGUCAAAGCAUGGCAACUAUGUUCCAAAGUACAUAUUCCAAGUCAUAAUCCUCAUAAGAGAUGUAUUUUUCACUUGCAAAAUAAACACUUUUCCUAUAUGCAUCCAUUCUACUCAUAUAGCUCUACUAUAUAGUGAAAUUUUCAUGAUACACAAGGCAUGCAUUUUAAGUGUCCCAAAAUUCAUAUAAAUCCCAUUUAGCAUAGAAGUGAAUUUAAAAAUAUUUUCAACAAAUAGAAAGAGCAUAGGGGCCAUUUCGCCCCAUUUUCCGAAGCCAAACCCACCGAUGACGACGAAACUCCUCGUUCGCUCCAACGAGGGUGUCCUCUAGUCUCCUAGUACCUAAAGGUGUGAGAACAUGUGUCAUCUAGUCGAAACGAACGACGCUAAGUUCAAUCUUUAAGCUAUUCAAGCAUAGGUGGAGGAAAACUGACCUCUAGUGCAAAAUCUCCUCUAAAGCUCCGAAAGAGAGCUAGAGUCCAUCCAAUCCCACAUAAUGGAAGCCUCUAAACCAUCAAUCUAGCUUCAAAAGCCCUAGAUUCAAAUACCCAAAAUAAACCUAAUAUCACAAUCUAGGGUUUCAUCUCAAAUCCAACGGUAAAACUUCAAUUUAGAGGAAAAGGAUGAGCUACUAACCUUUUAGAAGCUUCAAACAAGAUUCAAAAUCCUCAAAGUGUGGAGAUCUCCCUCUCCCCAAGCUCCAAGGUCAAGCUCCCAUGGAGGAAAAGCUUCCAACAAGCAAAAAGAGCAAAAAGAGGGUUUAAUCCUCCAAAAUCCAAGAGAAUGGGAUCAAAUCCAAGGGGGAAGGAGAAGAGGGGUGCCCUACCUUGCCCUCUCUGUGAUCUGAGCUUAUGAGAAGCCCUAAGGGGCGUGGGGUACUAAUAGAGAGGCUACAAAAGCAAAAACACCCCUGCAGUUCAAACUGCACGAAAUCUGCCUCCUUGUACCGGUACACGGGCUCUUGUACCGGUACAAGGCCCACGAAAAUGCAAACCCGAGGCUCGGGUCGCGGGGUCUGCGGCUCUGUACCGGUACAAGCCCGAUGGCUGUACCGGUACAACCAUCAAUCCUUGUACCUGUACAAGACCAACCUUGUUCCGGUACAAGCUCUGCUGCAGGCUAACCCGAGAGCUGUCCAAUGAAUCCAAUUUUUGGAUUUUGGUACCAAGCUUACAAACACAAUUCUCGGGACUCAAACCAUAGGUUGGAACACUGUCAACGACCCACCAGAAAGUCUGGAAAAGCUCGACACACAAAUCAAACACUUGAACCUCGCAAUUUGCAAAGGUCCAGUGUGUUACAGAGGCACUCUAUGGGCGUAAGUGUCGCUCUCCUAUCCAUUGGAGCGAAGUGGGUGAAAGAGUCGCCCUUGGUCCGGAUGUGGUGCGAGAGGCGGAAGAGAAAGUCCGUUUUGCUCGCCAAUGAUUGAUGACGGCACAAUCGCGACAAUGAAGCUAUGCGAAUAAGCGCCGAAAGGAUUUGGAAUUCGCGGUUGGCGACCGUGUGUUUCUCAAAGUGUCGCCAAUGCAUGGGGUGAAGCGGUUUGGCAUUCAUGGGAAGCUUAGUCCACGAUAUAUCGGGCCCUACGAAAUUCUAGACGAAUUGGGCCGGUGGCGUACAAGUUGGCAUUACCGCCGAAGCUUGCGGGAGUGCAUAAUGUAUUCCACGUUUCGAAUCUUCGCAAGUAUUUUCGGAACUCCUCACAUGUGUUGUAGUAUGAACCGGUGGAGUUGCAUGAGGAUGUCACCUAUGAGGAAUUCCCGGUGAGCAUUCUUGCUCGAGAGGAGCGGAAGCUACGGAAUUGGACUAUUCCGUAUGUAAAAGUGCAAUGGAGUAAUCACUCGAGGCGUGAAUCCACGUGGGAACUAGAGGAGAAGAUGCGCGAAGUCUAUCCUCACUUGUUUGAACAAGUGGACUACGGUACGUGUUUAAGUUUCGCGGCUGAAGCUAUUUUUAUGGGGUGGGGAAUGUAACAUAUCACUUUCCCGUAAAUCAUGCCGAGUUCCGUCGAAAUGUGCGGAAUGCGGAGUGGAACAAGUUGGUAUAGGUUCUAAGUGCGUUGGAACCUAUAUAUAUAGUAAAGGGACCCGAGAGAGUGAAAGUUGCAAUUCUGGCUAAGUUCCAGAAUUUUGGACUCUCGGGGACCGGUCCCUGCGGGGAGAGACCGAUCCCCGUAUCCGUAGCCUACCUAGAAAGCUGGAAAAGCGGCUAAGUCUUGGAAGACCAGGCUACGGGAACCUGUCCCUACGGGGAGAGACCGGUCCCCGUAGGUGAAAAAGUUGGGAAAUGGCUAAGUCAGGAAAUAUUGCUCUGGGGAACCGGUCCCUGCAGAGAGAGACCGGUCCCCGUGCGUGCAGUCAGCCCGAAAAGAGUGGAAAUUUGGCUAAGUCCUGUUAGGUGUACUCUCGGGGACCGGUCCCUGUGGGGAGAGACCAGUCCCCGUAUGCGAAAAUCGCCCAGUUGAGCUGAAGUGAAAAAUGGAUAGUUGAGGGGUUUAAAUGCAAAAGUGGCAUGUAACACACUGGACUUUCGCAAAUGGCAAGGUUCGAGUGUUUGAUUUGUGUUUCGAGUUUUUUUAGAUAUUCUGGAGGGUCGUCGACAUUGUUCCGACCUAUGGCUCGUAUCCCGAGAUUUGUGGUUUAAAACUUUGCACCAAAACCCAAAAAGUUAGAUUAUUGGUGUGCUCUCGGGUAGCCUUCAGCAGGCUGUGUACCGGUACAGGGUUGAUGGCUGUACCGGUACGGGGUGAUGGCUGUACCGGUACGCGGGGCCGUGUACCGGUACACAGGCAGCUUCUCAGCCAACCCGAGGCUCGGGUUUGGCAUUUUCAUGGGAUGUGUACCGGUACGCGACCCCGUGUACUAGUACGUAGUGCAGUCAGCAGACUGCUUGAACUGCAGGGGUGUUUUUGCGAUUGUAGCUUCUCUAUAUUAGUACCCCACGCCCCCUGGUGUUCCUUGAGCUUGGAACCAGUGGAGAGGAAGGUAAGGGACCUCUCUAUUCUCCCUCUUUGAUUUCCUUUGUUUUUAUUGGGAUUUUUCGAGGUUUAAUCCUCUCUUUUUGCUCUUUUGUGCUACUUGGUGCUAUUUCAACCAUGGGAGAAAGCUUGAGGCUUGGAGUUGAGCUUGUUGAAGGAGAGAUCUUCAACCCUAGUUGACUUCUAGCCUAGUUGGGAGCUUCUAUAAAGGUUAAUAACAUGUUUCUCUCAUUAGAUUCAUAUUUUACUUGAUUUUCGUUUAGAAACCCUAGAAAUGAGAAUUUGGGGAUUUUUGAUCUAGGACUUUUGGAGCUCAAUUGAUCGGUUUAGAACCUUCCUCUAGGUUAGAGUGGAAGGGUUCUAGCCCCCAUUUGGAGCUCGGGAAGCGUUUGCUUCACUAUAGGUGAGUUUUGCCCUUAUCUUGAGUUUGUUAUUGUUUUAGCUUGUUGUAGUUCGUUUUGUUCGUGUAACUCCCCUAGUUUUACCUAUAGGGAGCUAGGAGGUUAGUAGGCACCUCCCUUCGGCGAAACGAUGGGCUUCGAGGAGACUUGAUGGGUUUGGCCUCACCAAAAUGGGAUAAAUCAUCCCUAUAAUGGUUUUUACUUUUUGUAAAAUGAGAAUGCAUACAUAUUCUUACUAGAUAGAAUAUUGAAGAAUUUUAGAAUGCUUAAUAUGUGCAUGUUAUGUAUAAAGUAUAUUGGACCUCUAUGUAGUAGAGAACUGUUCAUAUUUGGAACCUUGCAUAUGGUUAGCAUUCUUACAUUUGAUUGAGAUCAUGUUGCAUGUAGUGCAAAUGACAUGUAGAUUACACUCUUGGACUUAGAACGCAUGCUUGGCAUGGUUGGACAUGUGGUCAUUGAGUGACAUAGGUUAGAGUGUAUGUAAAUUGUAAGCUAAUGUCAUAAAGCGGCAUUAGGCUUGGACUAGAGAUGGAUUUAGUAAGCUAAUGUCAUAAAGCGGCAUUAAUCUUGGAAUGGUUUUGGACAUAGUGAAAUGAUGCCAUAAAGAGGCAUCGGACAUAGUGAACUUAGUAAACCUUCACUUGAGGCACAGACUAGACCUAUGGGUUGCUAGUGAGUAUUUCCACGUUUUAGACAUGAUGACAUAGUGACAGGCCACUGAGACACAUGCUACAUUCCAUGUUUUAGAUAUGAUGAUAGGCCAUCGAAAAUCUACUAUAUUCCGUAUUUUAGACACGAUGACAUAGAGAUAGGCCAUUGGGACAAUUACUAUAUUCCGUAUGUUAGACACAAUGACAUAGAGGCAGGCCUUUGGGACAUGUGCUGUAUUCCGGGUUUUAGAUCCGAUGAAACAGUGAUGAACCAAUGGGACCUGAGACGGACUUAUUCGCUUGCAUGCCAUUGUGCUCAUUCGCACAUACUUGUGAGGGUCGCUCCCUACAAGUUGGCACUCCGGAGAUAGCCAUCGCAACACACUCCCUACAAGUCGGCACUCCGGAGAUAGCCAUCGCGACACAUGCUCGCUCGUGCGGGAUUGGGUGCCGAAGUGGGAUGCCGUAGGGGAGGCUCAUUCCUAGAAUGGGGAUGUUGACUACCAUGGGGCCAUUAGGCACGGCGCAGGCCAGACAGCCUACGGGUGGGUCUUCAGUCCAGACAGCCUACGGGCGGGUCUUACAAGAUUGGAACUUUAAAGUAGACACAUUGACUAGAACAGUAAACAAUAAGUGAUAAACACUACUUGAUUGUAUAUCGUAGUUGGAUUCAGUUUACAUUGAGAAUAGUGGUACCCUUAAUUGCCACUAACAUACUAGAUAGUAUACUUCAUAGUAUUACCUGUUGCAUCAUAGUAUACUUGGUAGCCAUGAUAGAACAUAAUUACUAUGCAUUGGCACAUUUGGAUCAUAUAGAGUAGAGUACUCCAUGAUGAUAUCCCGAUUAUUUAUGGCAUAGUAGAAUAGCAUUUUACUAUAUGCUUUAUUUACCGCAGUUAAUUUCUGUUAUCCAUUUCUGCUUUCGAUUUGGGCCUAGUGGUGCAUUUUGCUAAGGUCAGUAAUUGCCCACUGCGAACUAUAAAUUAUAGUUCUCACGCCCCCUGUUUUAUGUUUUCUUUCAGAGCCUUCCACUCCGGGAGAGGCUCGGGAUCGCGGGACAGGUUUCGCCUCGAGUUAGCUAUCGAGGGACUUGGUGAUAGGUGGUCCACUUCUCUUUUGUUUUCUUUUGGAGAGGUUGUGAGAGUUUUGUACCUGGUUAUAGAGACCACCCUGUUUUUGUAUCUUGAGAUUUGUGAUGUAUUAAUUUGCUUUAUGCUUUAGUGGUUCAAUUCUCUUUUUGACUCUACUUGUUGUUAGAACCUAGCUGUGUAUUUGCUCUGAUAUCUCUAGAUACUUUCAACUUCUUGUUCAUUCAUUCGUUUUGUUGUAGACGCCUUAUAUGUGCAGGCAUAUGGCGGGUCUGGGCACGCACCGGGCGGACCUACGCCGGGUCCUGGGGCGUGACAUGGCAUGUGUUGGGUAUAUGUGUGAGAGGGAUGAGUGUUAGGGCUCAUUCUCUCCCACACCAACAAAACAUAUCCCCCCCCCUCUCUCUCUAAAAACCCUUCUCCUCUCUCUUCCUCUCUCUCUAGGGCUUAGACCAAAGUGGGAUUUGGAGGACAUGGGUGGAGAAGAAGAACAAGUUGAAGGUGUAGCUUGCAAGAGUGCAAGAGUUUGAGGCAAAGCUUGGACUCCAAGGUGAGUUUCCAUGAUAUUGAGUUAGGGUUUUGGUUUGUUUCCUUCUAGCUUGCUUCUAGGAGAUGAUUAGAGGAUUUCCCCCAUGUUUCUCAUGUGUAAGGACUUAGUUGGGAAAGAUGAUAUUGUACAAGGACCUAUACUUGGGGCUUUUGGAUUUUGAGAUCGAAGCUUGGGUUUGAUCUCAUUUUAACCUAAUUGGUAGGUCAACGAACCCGUUGGUGCACUCAGUUCGGCGAUACGACGAGCGUGCACGAAGAAAUUGAGGAAACACGUUAAAUUGGUAUAGAUUGCCAUAGCUUGCGGCGAAGGCGUCUAAAAAUCACGAAAAUAGGACCACGGCAUCCUAGCAUCACCAAAAGGUGGGGGGUGCUGUCCGAAAACACCGGAUCUCUUUCUAUGUCUAUGUCACUUCCUUUGAGCAUAUUGAUGUAGGGUAGCUUACUAUGUGUUCUUGGUUGAAUUGCAUUUAUAUGCUUAAAGAAUAUGUGAAAUGAUAAAGAACCAUGUGAACCAUGUGUGAAAGAACCCUAUGUGUAUGUGAAUGUGAGAAUGGACUAUGACAAUAGUAAACAAAGGUGACAUUGACAUUAGUGACCAGAUUGGCACCGAGAAUGUAAAUGACUAAACAAAGUUUAGUUUAUUAUUGGCAUCAGGACCACUGUGGUUUUGUGUAUUGAGACAGGUUUGGCAAGACUUCCUCAAAUUGAGGAUUGGAUCGUACUCACACUAGCUAUGGCUUGAGGACGGUAGCUCCUCCUCAAGUGGUGUACUCCGGAGUGUAGACACCACGGGGAGAGGCCUCGUCAUUUGUUCCCUCGGGUGGUAGUGCUAGUAGCAUCCCCCGGUAGAUGGGAAUUGUGGUUUGUGAGAUUCGGGGUGAACCAGGAGUACCUCGGAUGAUUGGGUAAAGGCCAAUAGAAAAGAAAAUGAACGACAAAGGACAUACAUGCAUAAUUAUCAUGUAUUGGUAUAUCUAUCUAUCUGUGGAUUGUUUUUGUGCAGGCAUUGUAAUAGUUUUGCAUUAGCUGGUUUGCAAUCUAUUGUUUCUUGAAUUACAUAUGCCUGAAAUAGACCUAGUAGGCGAAUCGGCGCGGUCGGUGGCCGAACCCACUGGGAACUUCUUCUAGUUCUCAUUACCACUAACCCUGCAGAUCCGUGGGCGAGCGGGGCGGCGGAGGAUCGAGGCAAGGGUAUUGCACCGUAGCUAGCGGCCUCGGAGUAUAGGCAUACCCUAUAUUUUGAGUAUUCAAUAUUUGUAUGUUGAACUAGUAAUGUAAAAUGAUGUAAACCUUAUACUUUGGGAUAAAAAAGCCAAUGUGAUGUAAAUGAAUGGAUAAAAUGAAUGUAAAUGUAAUAGUUUACUUGUGUUUGAUUCAAAGGAAAUCAAAUGACUUGUAUGUUGAAUGUUUAGUUAGUAUCGAUGCUUUCACGUGUUUGUUGUUGUUUGCCCUCGUGCAAACCUUGUAUAUCUUGCAAUCUCUUUGUUGACUUGCUUGUAAUAUACAUGUUGUUUCAGCCUUGGGCGGACAGGGGAGGUGCUGUCCGUUCGGCGUCUGUUCGCGUGCCCGAACCGUCCAAAUUGGCGGCCCCCGGGGCGUGACAAAGAUGGCACCUUUCGAGGCACUCUAUGGACGGAAGUGUAGAUCUACUUCAUUGGAGUGAAGUUGGCGAGAGAUUGGCUUUAGGCCUCGAUGUGCUCCAGGAAGCAGAGGAUAAGGUUCGUAUUGCUCGGGAGCGACUGUUGACAGCCCAGAGUAGGCAAAAGAGUUAUGCUGAUAAGCGUCGACGAGACUUGGAAUUUCAGAUUGGAGAUCAUGUCUUCUUGAAGGUUUCGCCGACCAAGGGAAUUAGAAGAUUUGGGAUUCGGGGUAAGUUGAGCCCCCGAUUCACUGAACCGUAUUAGAUUUUGAAGCGUGUAGGCCCGGUGGCGUAUCGACUUGGUCUACCGCCAAACCUAUCGGGUGUACACAAUAUAUUUCAUGUAUCGGUCCUUCGAAAAUACAUCUAUGAUCCGGCUCAUGUUUUGGAUGCUAUACUAUUGGAGCUGAGGGAUGAUUUGAGCUCUGAAGAGCAACCUUUGAGGAUUUUGGCUCGCGAGGUGAAGAGGCUGCGGAACCAUGAGAUUCCCUAUGUGAAGGUGCUUUGAAGCAACCACGAUGCACGUGAGGCCACGUGGGAGCUGGAGAGUGCGCUGGUGGAGUGCUAUUCCUAUCUUUUUCAGAUGGAGGCUUGAGAUACUUUGCUUUUUGAGUUUCGCGGACGAAACUCCUUUUUAGGAAGGGUGAAUGUAACACACUGGACCUUUCCAAAUUGCGAGGUUUGAGUAUUUGAUCUGUGUUCUGAGUUUUUCCAGAUAUUCUAGAGGGUUGUUUACAGUGUUCCGACCUAUGGCUCGUAUCGCGAGAAUUGAGGUAUUUAAAGUAGCGCUAAGGUCACCAAAGAGGAAGACUUAGGCCGCUCUCGGGUUGCUCUCUGCAAGAUUGUGUACCGGUACACCUUGAUGGUGUACCGGUACAAAAAGUGUAUCGGUGACAACUCGAUGGUUGUACCGGUACAGAUGUGGUUUAUGGCCAACACGAGCCUCGGGUAUGCGCAUUCAUGGGAUUUGUACCGGUACACUUUCCCGUGUACCGGUACACUUUGGCAGACUGCAAAAUAGCAGCUUUGAGGGGUGUUUUUGCUAUUGUAGCAACUCUAUAUUAGCCCCUACGCCCCCCUAGGGUUCUCUUGAGCUGAGAACUCACAGAAUUCAAGGUGAGUGAGCUUUUUUCUCCCCUCCUUGGAUUUGAUCUCCAUUUUGCUUGGUUUUAGAUGGAUUAAUCCCCUCUUUUGCCUUUUAGAGCAAUUUCCACCUUGGGAAAAGCUUGGACUUUAUGUUUGGAGCUUGAUUGAAAGGAGAUCUUCAACCUUAGUUGAUUUCUAGCCUUGAUUGAAGCUUCUAAGAGGUAAGCAACUUGUUCUCUCCUCUAGAUUUCAAGAUUUGGUCGUGUAUUUGAGAUGAAGCCCUAGAAUGGAAACUUAGGGUUGAUUUUGGGCAUUUUGGAUUUAGGGCCUUUGGAGCUUGAUCUCUUGGAUUAGAACCUUCCUCUAGGUUAGAUUGGAAGGGUUCUAGCUUCCGUUUGGGAUCCGAGAGAGUUUAUCACCAUCUUAGGUGAAUUUUUGCCCCUUUUCUUGAGACAGUUAAUGAUUGAGCUUAGGAUUGUUCGUAACGUUCAAUUAUUUCUUCUCUUGUUACCUUUAGGGUGCUAGGAGAAUAGUGGGCAACUCCGUUCGGCGAAACGAAGGAGUUUUAGCGGAGCUCGGUGGGUUUGACCUCACCAAAGAAUGAGAAAAUCUCAUUUUUGUUGAUUUAAGUAUCGUAAAAUGGAAAAUCAUGCAUUUUCAUGUUAGAUGCAUUAUUUAUGAAUUUUAGAAUGCUUAAAAUGCUUAUGUUGUAUACAAUGCAUUUUUGGACCUCUAUAUAGUAGAGAGCUUGCAUGUGAGACUUAUGCAUGAGUUUAGCAUUCGCAUUCGGGACUUAGAAUCAUGUUUCGUAUAGUGAAAAUGACAAUGUUAUAUGCCCUUGGACAUAUGAGAAUACAUUAGGCCAUGAAGUGGCUUGGGACUUGGAUAUCAUGUGAAUUAGUGAGCUAAUGUCAUAAAGUGACAUUGAGCUUGAUUUAUAUAUGAACCUAGUAAAUAAUGUCAUAAAGAGGCAUUAGACUAGAGUAAUAUGUAAAUUAGGGAGCUAAUGUCAUAAAGAGACAUUAGGCUCAGAAUUGGUAUAGUAAGCUAAUAUCACAAAGUGGCAUUGGGCUUGGACUAGAUAUGAACUUAGCAAGCUCAUGUCAUAAAGGGGCAUUAGGCUUGGAAUAUGCGCUGACUUAGUAAACCGAAUGUCAUGAAGUGGCAUUAGUGUUGGAACAAGAUUUGGGCGUAGUGAGAUAUAAUGCCAUAAAUAGGCAUUGGACAUAAUAAAUGGUUAAACCUUCACUUGGGAUAUUGGACUAGACCUAUGGGUUGCUAGCGAUCAUUUCCAUGGUUGAGCCAUGAUGACCGGAUCGUUGUGACGAUGACUAUGCUUGCUUGCCAUUUGUGCUCAUUCGCACAUACUUGUGAGGGUCGCUUCCUACAAGCCGGCACUCUGGAGUUGGCCUACGCGACCUAUCCUCGCUCGUGCGGUAUCGAGAAACCUACAAGGUCGGGAGGGAUAGACUCAUUCCUAGAGUGGGAAUAUUGGAGCUACCAUCGACACUUAGGUGGCACAAGCUGGACCACACUUGUGCAGGUCCCCAAAACAAGAUUGAACAAUGACAUCGAUUCAUAAAUGAUAAUCACUACUAAAUAGGAUGUAGUAGUUGGAUUACCUUGUCAUGCAAUAGCAUAACUGUGAACAUUUGAGACAUAUAGUAUACUUGGUAAUAUCGCUCAUUGCGUUAUAGUAUACUUGCUUGCCAUGUGGGAUCAUACUAUAUAUGGGUUGGACAUGCUUGAUCACGAUAGAAUGAAUGUACAAUAUAUUGUCAUCAUAUUACUUAUGGCAUAGUAGUUUAGCAUUCAAUACAUGCUUUCAUAUCUGCAGUUUAUUUUCAGUUGUUUAUCAUAUCUACCUUACUCGUUUGGGCCUAGUGGAGCAUUAUGCUAAGGUCAGUAAUUGCCCACUGGAAACUAUAAAUUAUAGUUCUCACGCUCCCUGUUUCUUGUUUUCUUUCAGAGCCUUCCAUACCGGGUGAGGCUAGGGACCGCGGAAAGGGUAUCGCCUCGAGCUAGCUUGCGGGCGAGGGACUUAUCGAUAGGUGGUCUACCUCUCAUCGGUUUUAUUUUGGAGAGGUUGAGAGUUGUACCUGUGCAUAAAGACCACCCUUUUUGUAUCUUGAGACAGAUGAUGUUUUUACUUUAUAUUUUAUAUUAGUUGAUAGUUUCCUUUCUCUCUGCUUGUUGUUAGAAUUUAGCUGUUGUUUGCUCUGAUAUCUCUAGUUGUCUUCCUUCUACUUGCUUUCGUAUCUCUAUUGUGGUAGACGCCUUAUAUGUGCAGACAUAUGGCGGGUCUGGGCACGCACCGGGCGGGCCUAUACCGGGUCCAGGGGCGUGAUAUUGAUCAACUUCUACUUGACCCAAGGUAUUUUACACUUUUUGCAUGUGUAAUUUUCGAAGAUUUUCGAAGUAGUUAUUUGGAAGCUUUUAACCCUUUAGAAUUCUUCUUAGAGUGCUAGAAACUCAGUGGACAACUUCGUUCGAAGGAACGAAAGUGUUUGAAUGUGAUCCGAUAGGUUUGAUCUCACCGAAAUGGGUGAACUCCCCCCUAUAUCUCCUAUGAUGUUAUAAGGCUUAAUUGUUGCAUAAUCAUGAUGUUUAUGCCAUGAUAGAAUUUUAGGGUGCUUGAGAAAUACAUGUUAUGUAUAACCUGUUGUAUGCUCUAUGUAGUAGAGAACAAUAGAUGAAAUCAUGCAUGUUGUACCUAUGAAGUUAUAGCACGAUGACAUGUUCUUUUUAUUGCAUUGUAGAAAUGCAUAAUAGAGAUGAAUUCUAGGUCAUUUGAGACUCUAGAGGGAUAAUGGAACUAGUGGACUUUGCAACUAGUUUACUUGCUAGAUAAUGAUGAGCAUGAUGUAUUACAUGUUAACCAUUUGAUGUAGAGCCAUGAAUGUUGUACUUAGUUUGAUGAACAACUAAGUUAACCGGGUAACUUUAUAUUGACCCUUGAGUUGAUAAAUGUGAUUCCGUGUUUUGCACACGAUGAUUGAUGUAGUUCGAAUACUUGACAUCCAUAUGACAUGUAGAGGGUUGAUACACUCUCGGUAGUAAAGCACAUAGUAGUACAUGUUGCAUGAGUAAAGAAGCCAUUCAUUUGCAUAAUAAUGUUGUACCCUAUAUAGAGGAGGCUCAAAUAGUGAGGUAUACAUAUACGCUUGUAAACACUAUGGUUUACCCAUCCUAUGAGUUGAUAGAUGAAACCUUAUGCUAUAGGCAUGUAGGAGAUUCAUGUGUUGAAAUAUGCAAUUGUCACGCCCCGGGGCCCAGCGGAAGCCCGCCCGGCGCGUGCCCAGACCCGCCAUAUGUCUACAACAUAUAAGGCGUCUAAAAACAACAAUAAUAAAAGCAAUAAUAAAAGACAUCUAGGAGUAUCAGAGCAUAGUAAAUGUCUAAUUGCUACAACAAGGGAUAAGGAUAAAACUGUAAAUCCACUAAAUGAAACAUAGAGUAAGAACAAUAGGAAAUCCCAAAUACAAGAGUUAAAAGUAGGUACAUAGGUGGUCUCUAUACAUGGAUACAAAAUCUCUCACUCUCUCUCAACUACAAAAAGAAAGAGUAAACCACCUAGGCAAAGUACCGCUCCUCGCUAGCUAGCUAAGCGAUCCCCUUGCCGCGAUCCCGUGCCUCCGCCGGUGCCGAAGGCUCUGAAAAGUAAACCACAAAACGGGGGCAUGAGAACUAUUAAAAAUAGUUCCCAGUGGGCAAUUACUGACUUCAGUGAAUGCACCACAAGGCCCAAAGCUACAGAAGAUGUNNNNNNNNNNNNNNNNNNNNNNNNNUGAAUAUGUACAAACAUUCAUUAAACGGAAUUUCGGUUAUGCAAAUUGCGUCUGGCUGUACGUCCUUCCGCCGGAGCACGCCGAGACUGCCGUCGAGAUUUGGCAUUUCAUUCUCCUGGCUGCUAACUCGCUGGUAUCUGCACAACAAAGUCCACAAAUACGUUAUCACGCAAAAUCAAAUGAAAUCAAAAUUCGACUCGGACCAGUUAGUAGGAUCUAUCGACGGAUCAGUUAACUAACUUUAUCGAAUCCAGAAGUGUGAGGCCGCCGUCCGUCGUGGAAUGCCGACGGAGAGCCUCCCAUCCUUCUCUCCUUCUUCAGGUAUUUAUCAUGCCAGCUAGACCGAGAGUCUGUCGGCGGACGGGAUCUAUUAUUCAUGCCCCAAGAUGAGCUAUUCAGCUUGAGCUGUUCGAGCCGAAACAGAAGUUUGCGUCCCCGCGAAUGCCAGCUGUGAGAUGUCUGCACGCUGAAGAUUCAUUAGGCAGGUGAGGUCAGGAGUAUGAGGGUCGAUGAUCUGCUUUCUUCACUCCAUUUAAUUGAGAAAUUCUCUUUUCAGAAUGAUUUGUACUAAGAAACUAAUAAUAAUAAAAAAGGCAUAAGAGGACUAAGAUAACAAAUGGGACUAAGAAAUUUUUAGGUAGUAGAUGAAUUGUUAAAGUAGAGAGUAUUAUAAUCUGAAGCAAAUGCGGGGCGGAGAUGAACAAUGAACAUGCACUUUUUUUUUUAAUGUUUCCUAGUAAUAUAAUGAGAUUAAUGUAAAACAAAAAACUUUACCAAAUUAUUGGCUGAAAAAAAAAAAUGCAGAUAAAUGAUCAAGAACCCUUAUAUGUAGCUUCUGAAACAUCACAGACCACAAAUUUUUGCAAUAAUAAAAAACAGAAAAAAAAAACAACUAAUAAGUUAAAGGAAACAAUAGUAGCUGCUAAAGAUCCAACAUUUGAACUACCUAAUUACUCUCUCUCUCUCUUCUCUCUCUCUCUCUCAAACAGUUUUCUUUUUGUUGCUCUCUCAUUUGUAAACCCAAGAGGCUCCGAAAUAUAAGGAGUUUGUAUGGAUAUCCCUACAAAUUAUAAAAAUUACAUUAUUCUAAUAGAGAAACGCUUUUUCAUUUUUUGAUAGAACUGUAGAAAUAAUCUUAAUGGUACUAUUACGAUGUACGUAGCAUAGUAUGAGGUAUGAAAAAAACGAGAGUAUUUUUUUUUACAUCAGAGCAGAUGUCUCUCACACAUAGCGUUAAUUAUCUUUCUGCAAUCCAAUACGAUAGUUCGUUUAAGAAACCUUAGCCAAAGAAGGAAUACAAUUGCCAAUGUAGAUGGUAUGGUAAGAGUGAUGGUUCAUAACUUUUUUUGUUGAUGAGUAUGUAUUUAUUUAGAAUCUAUUGUCAUUUAAUUUAUGAACUGAGUUGCUAGCGUAAUGAUUAGCAAAAUAUUCUCAAGUUAAUUUGGAAGCUUAGCAUAGAUAAUGUGUAAGCUAAUUAUAAAUAAAGUGAAAGAAAAAUUCAAUGUGUUGUGUAAAAAAAAAAAUCAUUUGAAAAAGAGAAUUGCUAAAGAUCGGAUAGAGGUUUCUAGUUGAGUUGUAAAAUGAGAGUAACAACAAAAAAAAUAUAAAUAAGCGCACAAAUACAGAAGAAUACCCUUCAUUAAAUAUCAAUUUGCCAUGCCACAAUAAAUUCAAAAUUUUUUAGGGGUUACGGUCGUUAAUGAUAGAAUGGGUGAAAUGAUUAAAUUUGUCUUGACUUGCUCGUAUUAAAAAAUUUGUAACUAUAUUUAUGUAAUUUUCAAGGUAUCUGUUGUAUAAAUUUUACGAAAUAGAUGAAAAUAAUUAAAACCCGUAACAAAGGCAACGCGGCUAAAUGCGUGAUAGGGGUGCAAACGAGGCUGUAACACAGCCGAAUGUGCGGCCAUUGCUCUAUUAUAUUGAGCGCCGAAUUCAGCCGCUUUCGAAUAAUUUCGAGCCAGAUAAGCGGUUCGAAGUAUGUCGGUCGAAUCGAAUUGAGCUGAAAUUAUCGAUGCUGGCUAAAAUAAAUUUAUUUUUAUUUUUGUUUUUCGAAGCUAAUAUUCAUAGCAGUAUUUGUUCAAAUUCUGGCCUUAUGAUAUUGUUUAUUCCGAUCCGGCCCUCAUGUUAGCUUGAAUUCUUUGUUUAUUUAUGUUAUUUGUUUUUCAAUUCUAAAAUGUUAUGAAAUAUUUGUUAAUAUUAACUACUAUAAAUUUAACUACAAUUAGCCAUAUAAGUACAAUCGAAAUAUGAAAUAUCAAUCUCUAAAUUACAAGAAUCAUAAAUACAAAUAAUACAUACAAUCAACAUAUCUAUAUAAUCAACAUUAGGUGCUCAAAUUACAAUCAAUAGAUUUUUGUCUGAUAAUCAUUAUUCUUUAGAAUAAAAAUUUAUAUUUUAUUUUUAAUAAUAUAUAAUAUUAAUUAGAUAUCCUAUCUACUAAUACUAUAGUAUAGAGGUUGAGCCCGAUGAUAGAUUUUACAAGUAUCACAUCAUAGUGCUAUUAGUUUUUAAGCCAUGUGAAUCUACUUUUUGAAUUAUUAAUAAAGCAUCUUGCUAUUAUAACAGCUAUUACCACCUCACACCACAACCCUAGCCAACACAUUCUCAAAUCAAUUCUCUCCAUUCCAAGGAUGCCUAAAAGACACACAAGUAUCUCCCCGCAUGAUACUUUUACAAUUAUUUUCUAGCCCUUACUCUCUCUCUCUCUCUCUCUCUCUCUCUCUAUUAUAUAUAUAUAUAUAUAUAGAAACGGGAGGUGGGAUACUAUUAAUAGCCCACCAAAGCAAUUUCUGCUAUUAGUUUUUUAGAAUUGAGCAUUAAAAAAUCUCUUGGCGGAUUAGCGAUGAUUAUGGACCCCGAGGCUUGGGUGGAAUAUUGGUGGUCGCAGGUAGUGAUUAAAUAGAUAUAAUCUAACGGGUAAAAAUAAUUAAAGGAUUAAAUCUAACGGGUGGAAACUCGCAUAGCACAAAAUCCUUAAGUGUUAUCGAUAGACUAUCCAGCGGGUUAUAUAUAAUAUAUUAUAGGCAGAGAGAGACGAGAGGGAGAGGAGAGAGAGAGAGAGGGAGAGAGAGAGAGAGUUUGCUUAGAUACUAUCCGGCUAGUAAACGGCCGUUUAGUACUAAUUUGUUAUUACGAUGAUAGAGCUUCCAAAUUGUAUGAUCGGCCACACGUUAAAUAUGAUCUAAACUAUUUAAACUAUUCUGAAAAUCAAAUUUUCACAAUAUUUUCGAUAUGUUUCUCUUGUCCAUUAACGUGAAUCAGAAAAAUGAAUGGCUUGAAAUGAAUAUCCACUCAAAAAAGUGAUGAUACAAUUUUCUAAUAUUGAUAUCUGAGUCUAGAUCUUAUUUAAAUAGUGUUUAAAGAUUUUUUAACAAAAAUUUAGUUGAUUUGAAACUUCUCUGAUACAUUUAAAUGAGCAACGCACCAUUAUUCUGCCAUUAAAAUUAUAUUUUUUGUACCCUCUUGACUCGUCAGUUAAUGAUGCCAAAAAAAUUAUGUAAAUUUGAUUUCUAGAUAAUUUAAAUGGUCUAGAUCAUGCUCAACGGUGCGGAUCGUGAUUUGAAGAGCUUAUCAUCAAAAUAAAUCGUUAGCUAAAGCUAGAGCAGUUUAGCUACCGAUGUUAGCCCAGUCAACUCUAUAGUAUAUAAUAUAUAUAUAUAUAUAGUUUAAAUGCUUUACAGUAUACAACUAAAACAAUACAAGUAAAGAUAAUUACAAGAAUAAUUACAGCAUAUCUAAAAAUUAUCAUUUAUCUGACAUAAAAAUAAAGUUACAAGCAAGGUUCUAUUAAAUAUACCUAUAAGUUUAGGGGGCAUCUUCAUUCUCCUACAUUUCCACCAAAUAAUUAAUUAGCACAUUAAAAGUAUUAAAAAGGGAAAUAUAAACUUACAUUACUUAAACCCCACAAUAAUCACAUGGAUGUGCUCAUUAAUUUAUAGCGAACUUACACCAGUUACUACAUAAUAAAAGAGAAAAGUAGAUUUUAUAUAUAUCAGUGGCAUAAUGGCUAUAUUUCCUAAUAUAUUUCCUAAUAUUGUGCCCCACUCAAAGUGAUUUUGAAUAGCCUCACACAUGCAUAAGGAAUAAUUGGCGAACAUUGUCAAACCUACCCUUAUAUUACAAAUAUUAUAUGCAUCCCUAAAAAAUUACCAAAUAUCAUUUACUACUAUUAAAUUGAUGAAAUUAUGUGGGACUCAUGCAGUUAUUCUAUAGCUUUUUGUAACUAUAGGAUAAAUAUAUUUCUCAUCCAAAAGUAGCACUAUAUAUUUAACCUUUUUCACUUUUCAGCUAGAAAUUAGAUUUAAUUUAACAGAAAAUAUAUAAUUUUUUCUUUGUAAAUAUUGUUUUUCACUUGCUUCCCAACGUUCAAAAAUCUAUAUUUUAUCCUUCAAAUUAAUUCCCGAUUUAGUUACAAGGUCUAGCUACUCGCAAGUUGCUCCGUGUUCGAUUGAAUAAAACUUCGAAAAUGAGUAUCGUUCAGAAUUAAUUUCAAAUAAAAGAGCUGGAUUUUUUUCUCCGAAAAAAUUUUAAACAAGUCACGGAGCAGGCCUCUGCUCAUCCUGUUCCACUCGAAAUAGUUAUCUUAUAUAUAUUAUAUAAUAUAUAUAUAUAUAUAGAACUGGCUGGAAUACUAUUAAUAACACCAAUGACUUGGGUGCUAUUAAGUUUUCUGUCCUUGGAUUAAAAAAGAGGUGCGCGUUUAAGAUGAUAUGGGCUCUUAGGAGAUGAGUGGACCGUGUUGGUGAAUAGUAUAUCGAAUGGAUUGAAAUGAUAAAAAGAAGUGUGAAUCUAACAAGUUUUCUGCCUUAGGAUGAAUAUGACUAUUUAUAUUAUAUAUAUAUAUAAUAAUAUAUAUAUAUAUUAUAUUAUUAUAUAUAUUAUAUAUAUAUAUUCGUGCUGGAUACUACGGAUAGCCACGAAGCAUUUGGUGCCACUAUAAUUUUCUGCCGUUAGAUUUACCUUUUUCGUCAAUUUUCAUCAUUUGAUUUACUAUUCCAACCAACAACCCACUCAACCCUAGGUGGGCUCACAGCAUCCUAACGCCACAUUUCUCAUCCAAGGAAAAAAUACGGUGGAAUACUAUUGAUAGCCAAGGGUCUGGUGCUAUUUAGUUUUAGUCCUUGGGAUUAAGAAAUCGCUGCGAGUCUAGGAGAAUGUGGCCUAGCGAUUGAGUGGUGGUUGGUGAAUAGUAUAAUCAACGGUCAUGAAUAUGAUAAAAAGGUAAAUCAACUGGCCAGAAACUAUAUAGCACCAAAUGUUUCGCUGCUAUCGAUAGUAUCUGCUGCGAGACUCUCUCUCUCUCUCUCUCCUCCUCUCUCGCUCUCUCUCGUCUCUCUGUCUAUAUAUAUAUAUGUAUAUAUUAUCUUAUUAUAUAGAGAGAGAGGAGAGAGAGAGAGAGAGCGAAGAUGAGAGAGAGAGAGAACUAGGACCUGGCAAUACUAUCAUAGCACUAGUAUGUGCUCAUUAGUUUUUAGCCCUUGGAUAUGAGAAUGUUCAGUUAGGAUGUUGGUCUUAGGUUGAUGGUGGUUCGUGAAUAGUAUAAUCUAACGGGUAAAAAUAUUAAAGAUUAAAUUCUAACGAAAUCAGAUAGCACCAAGAUAGUUACGGGAUCUCUCUCUCUUCUCUCUCUCUCUACUCUUAUUAAUUAUUAUAUAUAUUAUAACAGGGCUACUGUGUAUUGGAGAUAACAGUCGUUUGCUCCUAACUUCCAACCACCAUCAUUUUGUGGUAUUAGGAUAAAGAGCAGAGAGGAGAAAUUCCGGAGAAAAUUAAACAGAGAACGAGAAAUUGAUAACCUAAUUUCUCCUCAAAUUUCUUUUUCUCUAAUCAUACCUUUCAUCCAAAACUAAUUGAAUGGUUAGGAAAUUUAAGAGACAGAGUUAGCCCUCCUCUCUCUCUCUUCUCUUUCUCCUCUCUCUCUCUCUCCUCUUCUAUAAUAUAUAUAUAUAUAUCCUAUCAUUUAUUUCCGGGAUCAGGGUUCGGAGUCUGAAUAUUAACCUAAUUGCAUCCUCAAUUUCUCUUUCUCUCUCUCAUCCUAACUUUCAUCAAACUAAAUGGAAAUGGUUAGGAAAUAAGAGCAUAAGAGCUAUAGCCUGCUCUUCUCUCUCUUCUCUCUCUCUCUCUCUCUCUCUCUAUAUAAUAUAUAAUAUUAACUAUAUAUAUAUAAUAUCCUACUCAUUUAUUCGGAUUCUGCGGUUCGGAUCUGUAAUAAUUUAAGUUGACUAACUAUACAAAUCGGGAUCUAUUCGAAAGGGUCUCGUAGUGAUAAUCCAUAUGCUAUCCACGAAAUCCUGAAUAGAUGGGUACGAGUCGGACUAAUGGAUACGAGUACCUGUAUUAACAUAUUUUUUAUAGACUAUUAAACACUCUAUUUGGACAAAUCAUAAAUCUCUCAAUUAGAAAAAACUUUCAUUCUAAUGAGACUGCACUCUAUCAGACGGAUCAGAGAGGCAAAAUGAGAGUAGUUAAAGAUUUGAUUUUUUUUUUUCUCUUUUUUUUUUUUUAUAACUCUUACUCUCUUAAUUCAGCAAGUAAAACAGGGACCGGCUUAGAGAAUAAGAUGUCAAUAGUAAACUAGAGCGGCUUAGGAUUAAUAAAAAUAAGGAGUAAAAAAAAGUUUUAAAAAAAAAGCAGUAACAUAGCGACUAGGUUUGACUGGACAAAUACAUAGAGACCCAUCAUCUAUAAGUCAUAUUGAAAUUGAUUCCAAGCUUAAAAUCUUUUUAUUGCGGUCAUCUCUACAAUUCAGAUCAAGCAUCCAGUCUGAAUCCGUAUUGAAAAUUAUUUCUUAAGACCCUAUCAUUAAAAAUGUCGGCGGUUCGGGUCGGACCCAAUGUCAGUAAUAGUACCAAAAGUAUCCGAAUCUACAUCACAAAACUGUAAUGCUUUUGCUUUUUAUCGAAUUACUAUCUAUUUUUUGUUUGAUCGGAUAGAAAAAAGUCCGGACUUAAAUAUAGUAUAUCGGCAUUUGGCACGUUAGGAGAAUAACUUAUACAUUUUACCAAACUUGCACUAAUUUGACACUCACCCUUAAUAUGUGGUUUAUUAGGGCUCUGAAUGCUUGAACAUGUUCUAUCAAAAAAAAAAUGCAAAAGGAUGUAAUUAAAAAUGAAAUCACACAGUACUAACUUGAUACCACUUUAAACUAUAAGGUACUAUAAAGAUGAAAAGUGCAACCACAAGUACGUAAACUAACACUUUAAACCACAUGUAUUAAAGUGGAAAAAAAUUGCGAAACAGAUUUUUUGAAGUUUUCCCUAAAUUUCAAUCUACAACACGGUUGUGAUUCAUAUUAUUAAAAUAUAUUCAAAUAUAAAAAGAGAUGAUAUGGAACAAUCUAAGGAAAAUAACAUUUUUUUUCAAUCUAUUUAUAUAAAUAAAUUGAUAAAUCGAAACUUAAAUUUAUAUUUUUGAUAUCAAAUUUGACCUAUACAUUAAAAAAUUUUAAAAUACAUGCAUCAAAAAUUAAAUAUUAAAAAUUUGAAAUAAAUAUCAAAUUAAAUUUUAAAUUCAUCAAAAAUUAAUUAAAAUAUUUAAAAAUAUUAAUUAUAAAAAAAAAUAAUAUAAAAUUUGUCAAAUAUUUCUAAUACAAAUAUAACAUAUAACUUUAUAAAGGUAUAAUUUUUUAUUAUAAUUUUAAAUAAUAUACUGUACAAAAUUUAUAUGAUUUAAACUAAAAUUAAAAUAACUUGUUACAUGCAUUUGUAUAUUAAUCAAUUAGUGUGGCUGUAAACCUAGUCUAAAUACUAUCAAAUAGUACAAAGCUAUCGGAGCAAUUAUGGUAUUCGGCCUUGAAGAUAAAAAUCUACGUGUGAGGCUGAUGUCGGCUCACCUAGGGUCGGAUGUAGUUAUUAGUUUAAUAAUAUAAUCUAACGAUGAAAGAUAGUUAAAAAGCUUAAAUUCUACAAGCGAAAACUUGAUAGCACCAAAUAAUUGGCUAUAUCUGCUAUUGAUAGUAUUCCAGCCUAGCUCUAUAUAUAUAUAUAUAUAUAUAUAUAUAUAUAUAUAUAUAUAUAUAUAUAUAUAUAUAACGUGAUUGAAUUGUUUAAUCCGAUCUGCUUAUUUUGGUAUUUUGUGUUUAUAAUUGAUCAGAAUAUAUAGAAUUAGGCUACUAUACUAUCUAUAGUACCGGAGCUCCGGUACUAUAGUCUUGUUUUCGAUCUUAGCGUGUUCAAAUUAACGAUCCACACCGUUAAAUAUGAUCUAGGGUAUAUGAAGUUCUUAGGAAUAAAAUUUUAGUUUUUUUCGACAUCGUUUACUUAGUAAAUAAAUUAUGUCAAAAUGGACGGUGGAAAUUGAAUAUUCUUUAAAAUUUGAGCAUAGAACUUUUAAAUUCAAGAUCAAGAAUGUUAACCUUAAUCUAGAUAGUUUAAAGUAUUUUCUACCAAAAUUUGAAGAAAUUUAGAUUCUUCUACGCUAUUAAACUCCAAACUCGCCAUAGUUUUCAUUGAAAAUUGCCAAUUUUGAAAUGAUUUGAUCAUAAAGUAAACUAUGUCGAAAAAAUAUAAAAUUUUAUUUCUAAAAACUUUAAGUACCCUAGAUCAGUUUUAACGGUGUGGAUCAUUGAUUCGAACACCCGAACAUCGAAAAUGGGACUAUAGUACCGGAGCCCUGGUACUAUAGAUAGUAUAGGAGACUAGCUCUAUAUAUAUAUAUAUAUGUUUGGCGUUAUAUUUGAAUUUGUAUUUUAAAACUUUAGAUUUAAUAUAAUAUAUUUUGAAAUAUCGUAAAUAGAAAUAAUUGUUUCAGAAUUCGAAUUUUGGAUUUUUGGUCAGAUUCGGGUUAUGGAUUUUUGGCCAGGUUCGGAUUUGGAUAUGCAAUUUUAAAAUCUAUUAGGAUUGGAUGGAUUCAGGUUCUUGUUUCGGAUUUAAUAGUCGAGUUGCUAUUCGGAGUGUUAAAAAUUCGUACUAUUCGAUCCGUGGACAUCUCUAAUCCAUACUAUCCUAUCAUAUGUGCUUCUAAAUAUAGGGCGUAUUUGGUUUGCUUCUUUUUCACCCUGGAAUCGAAAUCGGAAUGGGUGAAUCCGUUUGUGGGUGUUCGGUACAUGAGAGUCCCAUUCCGAUUCCGAUUCCCGAGUGGAAUGGGAAUCUUCCAAUCACCUCAUUUUUCAAUCCGGCCUAGGAGGCCAGAUUGGAAGUUGAAUCUGGCCGGAAUGGAUAUUUAUUCGGAUUAAAUUUAUUUUUUCAACUUUUUUAAUUAAAAUAUGAGUUAAAAUUUAAAAAUUAAAUAUAUAAUUUUAAAUUUUAAUUUGAACUUAAAUUAAAAAUUAAAUUUUAAUCAAGUAUUUCGAAUCUAAUUUAUGAGUUUGAAUUUAAAUUAAAUUUUAAUUUAUAUAAAGUUGUAUUCAAAAUUUAUUUCAAACUUAAAUUAAAUUUAUGGAUUCAAAUUAAAAUUUAAAUUGUAAUUUUAAGUUUGAAUUUGAAUAAAUUAAAAUUUAGUUUCAUAUUUUGAAUUAUCNCAACCAUCAACCCUUGUACCGGUACAAGGCCAGUCUUGUUCCGGUACAAACCCUGCUGCAGGCUACCCGAGAGCUGUCCAAAAAUUCCGAUUUUGGAAUUUUGGUGCCAAGUCCCACUCCAACAUCCUCGGGAUGCGUGCCAGGGGUCGGGACACAAUCAACGACCCUCCAAAAACUGUGGGAAAGCUCCAAACACAGAUCAAACACUCGAAUCUUGCGAUUUGCUAAGAUCCAGUGUAUUACAGCAAUUGACAUGUAAAUGACAAAGUACACACUUGAGUAGUUUAAUGAAAAUCAACUUUUGCAUUUUAGUGGAAAUAUUACACAUUGGCAUACGGGUGAAGCCCGUUAGGUUCUUGAAUGAGUCAUCGAACCUUUCCCAAUAGAACAAAUAAAACAUGGACAUUAGUGUGUUGAGUCAUGUGACACAUUGGUAGAGACAUACCAUUAAUUUAAAUUAUUUUUGGAACUUGACAUACAUGACAUUAGAAGAUUACCCUUUUUGCAUAGGGCAUUAUGGUGGUAGUAACACACAUUGGUAGGUUCAUGAAUGAGACAUAGAACCACCCUUAAUAGAGUGAAUGAAUGAAAUGUGGACCUUCAUGUGCUUUGGACAUGUGCUAUAACAUAAAAAAACAAUAAUGUCAUAAAGAGGCAUUAGACUUAGUGAAUGGUUAAACUUGUACACUUUGACAUAGAACUAGACCUUUGGGGUUGCUAGUACUUAUACCAUGUUGAGACAUGACAACCGUGUACUUAAGAUGACGAUCAUGCUUGUUUGCCAUUUGUGCUCAUUCGCACAUGCUUGUGAGGGUCGCUCUCCACAAGCCGGCACUCCGGAGUUGGCCUAUGCGACAGAUGCUCGCCGUGCGGUAUUCGAUGCCUACUGGAUCGACGUGGGACAGGCUCAUUCCUUGCGGGGGGAAUGUUGGACUACCACAGGCCAUUAGGCACGGCGCAAGCCGGACUACAUUUGUGCAGGUCCUGAUGACUUGAACUAUGUUAACCAAGAGUUAAUUAAACCUGACAUUAUGUUAGACAUGCUAGUGGAUGCACACCUAGUAAAUGGUCAUACUAGUGGUUGGUUACCUUAUGUUGAGAUUCGAUGCAUUCAUAGUAGAGAGAUAUACGUCGAACAGACGCCGACCGGACAGAACCUCUCCUGUCGGCCCAAGGCUAAACAACACAGUCAUGUACAUCAAGUUGCCCAGGUAAACUAAAACAAUAUACACGAAGCACGACAAGCGCUAUACAAGCGAGAGCAAGAAUCACAAGUAGAUAUACAAGUGAACCAAAGAGAAACAUCUAGCUAUUACAAUUCCAUUCAACAUAUACAUCAAGUUUACAAUUUUACAUCUCCAAAAUUUAUACAUGUCAUCCAUAACUCUCCAAAAUACAUAUACAAUAUGAUCUCAUAUCUAUACAGGGUGUACUAAUGCAUAAAGGAAAGUUGUCUAGCUACUAGGGCGCUAUGCCCUUACUGCGGUCCUCGCCCGGUCCUCUCGUACUCGGCCCUGCAACAAAGUGGGGUGAGAACUAUAUUAAUAUAGUUCCCAAUGGGUUCGGCCGCCGACUCUGCCGAUCUUCCCACUAGGUCUAAGCAGGCAUAAGUAGACAGAUAGAUAGAUAUGAAAAUGAGCUGCUACAUAAUAACAAAACCUACAAUAUGCUACUAUGCCUCGACAAGCAGAAUGAAUACAUGAACAUAGAUAUGCGCUCUACUAACAUGAAAACUAUGUCUCAAUCUGCAUACUCUACAAGAUAUAAAGGAAAUAUCUACAUAGUAAUGAAACAUACUGUCAAAUACUAUGUCUCAUGUCCAAUCUCAUCUCGGCUAACCAAAAGGUUACGCCCAAACUCACAUCUCAAAUCUCGCUGGUGAGUAGACUCUACGCUACAAACACCCGAGACCGCCUGCUGGGUAAUCGUGUUACCCAAACGCGACAUCUACUCCGGAGCUCACUACUUGGGGUGGAGCGACCACGCCAAUGUUACAUAGACUAUGUGAGUACGAUCCAAUCCUCUCACUCGAGGAUAGUUAGUGCCUCUUGCACUAGUUCACAUGCUACUACUCAGGAGAUCAGUAUCUAUCCUAAGUUCAUGUAUCAAGCUGUAAGUGUUUCACUACACUAGUCCAAAUGUCAAUUUUUUUGGUUUACAUGCCACUACUUAGGAGAUCAUUCUCUAUCCUAAGUUCAUGUCAUAGUGUCUCUACUACGCUAGUCCAAAUGCCACUCUGUGAGUUCAUUUACAUGUCCAAGUUCAUCUUUUGUUCCGCGACACUAUAGGAUUCCAUGUCAAGACCCAAUCCUCAUGUGUCCACUAAAUCAAGUGCUCAACUCACCAAAUGAUUUCAACGAUGGAAACAUGCAAGGAAUUGAAGUACAAACAACCUAUAAUGCAUACUAACAAGAUAUGAACAUAUGCUAAAAUAAUGAAAUACUCGGUCAUAGAAAGAAGCCCGACUGCUUCGAGAUGGACAGCUCCCACCUUCGGGAUGGAAACUCCUAUGUUUAAAAGAUGUGGAAAGAGUUACAUCCAAAAGGAGUGUGAAAACUACCACCACAUGUAGGAAAGAGCUACCACCCCAGUCGUCCGGCAAGUGUGUGAAGCUACCACAUGAAGAUUGAAUUAAAUAACCGGAACGGUUGAAAAAAAAAUUGAAUAUUUUAGAAUUUUCGGAGUUAUAAGGUGUUAGUUUGAAAAAGAAGCUCACAGAGCCACCACCGGUAUCAUAAUAGUUAAAUCUCUAUUUUGAACGGAUUGCGACAAAUUGGUGUAAAUUUUGCCGAAUUUCUAAAAAUCAUUUUUCAUGAACCGUUACAUCUUGAUGAUUUUGAAACACGAGGUCAUUUUUUAUAACGAAAUUUUUGAUGUUUCGAUGUAUUUUUGAAAUCUUAUAAUAUUUUACCUCCAUUAUAAUGAUUUUUGGAGUAAAGUCCUUAAUUCGUAUGAAAUUAAUUUAAGUUUAAAAGGUUUUUAAAAUUAAAAAUUUUUGAAAUCUGGCAAAGUGUUUUGGUAGCCACAGUUUUAAAACCGGUUACAGGUUUUCGAUCUUUCUCCAAACUUUAUCAAAACUUCUCCUUUCUCUUUCUUAAAACCUGUUACAGGGCACGUUUGUUCACGACGAUAAAUAUGGAAAAUGAAAAAGAAAAGAAAAUAAAAGGGUUACAGUUCUUCAAUGUGCUCCUUUCUGGUUCUUUUGAAAGUCUAUGUGAAUUUAUCCUAUUCAUGCACUAACAUUAUUGGUACUCUCUCUAUUUUUGGUACUUGUUUUUGGCAAUUUUUGACAAAAAGGGGGAGAGAGAGAAGAGAUUUUAAAUUUUUUCUUGUGAAUUUUUAUUGAUCAUAUUAGAUGCAUGAACAGAGGGGGAGAGAUUUUUAUUAACAAAGGAUGCAUGAAUAGAGGGGGAGAGAUUUUCAUUAACAAAAGGGAAGAGAUGUUCAUUUUUUUUACUAACUUUGUUCGAGGAGAAAAUAUUCUUUGUAUUCUUUCUGCAGAUUCUCGAUGACUUCAAGACUCGUGUUUAAGUCAUAGAGUUUGUUUAGGAGUUACAAAUUGUAAUUUUGUUUUUUUUUUUUUUUUUUGGAUCUUUCCCGCGAGAAGUUCAUUGUUUUGGUGAUGGCAAUGAAUUUCAAUUUUUUAUUGUUUGGAGAGUUGAGCAUUGUGAGUGUUUUGAUGUAUUUUUGAGUUUUGUCACAAAAUUGCCAAAGGGGUAGAUUGUUACGGAUUUUAUGUUGGCAUAUUUCGUAAAGUUAAUCGGAGUCUUGAAUGUUUGAAGAAGAAGAGAUGAAGAUCGAAGAAUCGAAGACUCAAAACAUGAAUGCACAAUGCUCGGUAAGUUUAAAUACCAUUGAUGAUGAUUUAUAAAUGUUUAAAAGUGUUUAGAAGACUUAGAUUGUGUUUUUGUUGAUCAAACUGGACUUUUCUAAAAAUCUUAGGGCUCAGGGACCAGUCCUUGAUCAGAAGGACCGGACCCAUCAAGCUUCUCUGCGUAGAAGUUUUGGGAGACCGGUCUCUGGUCUUGAGGACCGGUUCCCGUAAGUGGUUUAUCUUGUUGCGCAGGGAGGGACCGGUCUCUGAAUUGAGGACCGGUCCCCAUACGCAUGUUCCUCAGCUAUGCAGCGAAGGACCGGUUUUCAACUUGGAGGACCGGUCCCUCAAGGACCGGUCUCCUCAGGAGGACCGGACCCUGGGGAUGACGUCAGUUUUUAAAAUUGAGUUUUUGCAAUCCCAGUCUGUUUCUAAGUCUUCUAAACCUAUAAAUAAGAUGUAGGGGUGUUUCUAAAAGAGUAUGAAGGCAUAGAAUAUUGUUUUGAAACCCUAGAAACUUGUUGGGUGCAUUCUUUCUUCUCUCAAACAACAAGUUUCUAUUGGAUCAAUUCUUGAAACCCUAAUUUCUUGUUCUUCAUGGAAAAUUGAUCCGGCUAUUGCUUAGAAACAUCUUCUAUGGUUCUUUAAUGAUUGUCUAAGCAAUAAAUCAUCAUCAAUCUUGGUAUUCUUGCUCCGAACGGAGUAUGCUCGUGGAUUCGAGUGGGCGUCGUGGAUUCAGCGUGAUCAAGGCUUCGUGGAUUCGAAGUAUGGACGCUUUGUGGAUUAUGGACGUGGCGUUCGUGGAUUCGGACGUGGGGCGUGGACAACCUGUUGGUGUGCGCGAGAUCCGGAAAAGAUAGAAGAGAGGUUUGAAACCGUGGAUUCAGUAAAUCACCUUGUUAUCUUUUAUUCUUAGUGGAUUGUUAUCGCGUGUUGGUCCCGUGGGUUUUUCUCCAAGUUGGAGUUUUCCCACGUAAAUCUCGGUGUAAUUUUUAUUUUUCGCAUUUAUUUUGAUCGCAUUGAGAUUUGUGGUUUUUGGCCGUUACACCUAUUCACCCCCCCCUCUAGGUGUUGGAUACAAUCUAGAUAGAUCCUUGGGCACCCCAAAACUUUCAGGGGCAGCUCUUCACCUAUAUGAUUUGAGAUCUUAGGCGGGUUAGCCUAGUGGAUUGGGUAAUGACAUGAAUAGCUUAGUGGAUUGGCAUUCAUACCAUGAUUGGACAUUGUAUAUGUUGAGUGUAUUUAAGGCCGAGGUGUAUGUAAGGGUUCCUUCACCUCGAGCCGGACAAAGUGCGGUAUCCCGCAGUUGAUUGACUCGAGGCAAAGUCGAGUGGCUAGCUUGGAUAAGGUAGAGGAAACCUUAAAGGCUAGUGAUAGAUGACUUGGAUCUAGGGUAAUAGAAACCUUAGAAAGUAGUUUGAUGUGAACUAGAUGAUGAGAUAGAAAGUAGUAUCGGGUGAUCUACUAGUUUUUGCAUUACUUGCAUGAUUGCAUGGCAUUGUUGCAUUUGUGAGGCAAAGCAUGGUAUUAUUAGCUGCAUAAUUUAGAUAUCGUAUCUAUUUGUUUAUUAAACUAACCAUGAUAUUGUUGCAUUACUUGUUGGUCGAGCUUUUCCCUUGGGUGGCCGUACCCACUGGGAACCAUGGAGUUGGUUCUCACCCCACGUUGCUUUGGGGUGUUACAGGUUCGCACGUGAGCGGCGCGGCGGCGCGAGGAAAGGGCGUAGCUCCGUAGAUAGCGCCCUAUCCCAGAGACCAGAGAUAGC